RNAcentral lists this long non-coding RNA (77169 nucleotides) under Musa acuminata (dwarf banana). RNAcentral's name for it is "long non-coding RNA (MACU_LNC000718)". The record is from RNAcentral. Lineage: Eukaryota; Viridiplantae; Streptophyta; Magnoliopsida; Zingiberales; Musaceae.
AAGAGGAGGGGGAGGCGGAGGGUUGGCAGGCGGCUGCGGCAGCCGGGGGGGCGAGGGGGGUGGAGGGGGUGGACGGGAGGAGACCGGGGUGGCGUUGGCCCGGCGUGCGGCGCGGCGGCUUAGGACGUCGGUCAGGGCCUCAAAAACCUCGCCGGCGAGGUUCGUGGGGAGGUUGCGCUCCUUCCGCUCGUGCCGCUCCAUGGCCCAGUAAGACGGUAGCUCCCCGCCGCCGGCUCGGGCCUCGUAGCCGCGCACCUUCUUGUAGUCGCGGAGGAGGUUGUCCCACUUGUCGUUGCACUGGUUCUGGCUCCGCAGACAGCCGUUGCGCCAGCAGUAGUUCUCGACCCACUUCCACCGUUGCUCCGCGGACCUGGGAACGGCCACGGGGCCGCCUCCCGCGGCGGCGGAGGGGGAGCAGUGCGCCAAGGAGGAGGAGGCCCCGGCGCGGCGUUCGUCGUCGAGGCGCUUGGCGGUGAUGAGGAUGAGGGUCUCGUGGAGCGUCCAGUUGCCCUUGCGGUAGCAUCGGACGAUGCCGCCGGCCGCGGAAGGGGAGGCGGGAGGCUGCGCAUGCGGAUGUGGCGGCGGUUGGUGGUGGUGGUGGAGGAGGGCUAAGGCGGAGGAGUGUUCGGCGGCUUCGGACAUGGCUUUUUGGGCAUUGGCUUCUGCUGCGGCUUUUCUUCUCCUCUCUCUUCUCUCUUUCUCUCUCUACGCUUUUCUUUUUUAGAUUACAGAGAAAGGAAGAGAGAAGCGAAACGGAUAGCGAGGCGGAGCGGGAGGAGGGGACGGAGUUAAGGCUUAUAGUGGUCGGAGGACAGGUAUAAUGUCACCCUUUUUACGUGUAACCCCCUACUCAAACUAUAUAUUCCCAAAAACGCCUUACGAAACCCCCCGUUGAACUUAUAUUGACAGAAGCACUCGUUAUACUUUUUUCGUUUUACCCCCUACUAAUUUGUUUAUUGCCAAAAAAGCCAUAACACCGGCACGGUCCAAAUUAGCUAUGUAACGUUUUAUGUUCGACGUCGGGGGGGUUUUCCAUACCGAAGAUUAUGAAGUGGGUAACGUCGUGGUGAGGUUUAUUAUCCGGUGGUGGAAUUUAGGAGGGGGGGUGUCGAUAAGCUUCAUGCGUUUUCUAUUGUGGGUGUGGAGGGCCAGAAAUCAUAAUCUCGUGACUAAAAAUGCAAAUGUAAUCAGAUGGAAUUGAUGUUGGGAAAUAAUUUAAACAGCCUAAUAUUCUGGUCCAAAACUCAGUACACUGAUUGAGUUUGGGUCAGAUUCACUAUGUGGACCACAGCCUUACGGAUUUAGAUUUAGGUGCAUGUAAGCGACAAAUUUCGGAUGUCGUCACCAACAAAUUUAGUUUUCAGUGGGUUGACUUUCAACUGAAAUCUUACAUUUUUCGAUCAAUCCAUAAGAGUGCUUUGGGUUGGGUUUAUGAAAUUUUAGUUUAACACACUUCUAGAUCUUAUGAUAACAUAUUGAAGAAGCAUAUUAAGCGUGUUUUCACUUCAAGAUCUUAUGAUCAGAACCAUGAAACCUUUCAAGCGCCAUCUGAUGAGUACAAGCAAAGAAACUAACCUCUGAUCUUUUGCAUCCGAUAUCAUCUUCUUCAUCUGCAACAUCACAAAGUUUUGACAGCUUCUUGGUCGGAAAGUUUCUCUAUGUCAUAAGCAAGCAUUCCCACGGCUGCAGCUUUGUGGAGAGUGAGAAGAUAGCCACAGGGAUAAGAUAUCUGAGCUGCUAAAACCCAACACUUGGUGUUUGGGCCAAGAAACAGUGUUAAAGCAAAAAACACAAUUUAUUUUCAGUGCCAACACCAAAGAUCAGAGAUUACAGUACCCUCUCUUCUGGAAGACGAAGCUCAUCCAACUCUAUCGGGAACAGUAACAAUAGCAGCCAUCAGUUUGCUACCCUGAGCAUGAUGAAUGGACAAGAGAAAGUAGUGAAUAUGAAAAGGUCGAAGCCUGAAUUUUGAUCAUUCAUAUGGUCUCAGCAGCAUCUACAGAUGAAAUAAAUGGGGCAUUUUUGGACCUUGUUCAUUGAAAAUAAGUGGCAGAUUAAGUAACCUUAAAGGACUGUAUUAAGCAGAUGAGGAACUUAAAUUGUACGAGUAUGCUAUAUACUUGGCUACCAAACUUAAAAUUGUUUGUUUCUUACAGGCACACAUUUCUUUGCAACCAAAAUUAUUCUUUGACAAAAUGGGGAGAGAAGGUAAAGAAGUUCACAUUAAAAAUGGUUUUAUGAAACAUUUUGGCACCAAGCUAGAAAAAGGAUAUAAGAAACAUGAUUCCAACAGAAUGACCUGAAGAAGAAGAAGAAGAAGAAAGCAUUGCACACAUGAUCAGAUGCUGAGUUCUCUAAUGUAAAACAAACAAAACAUUCUAUUUCUCAAAAGACAAAUCAAAGAAGCAUUAGAAAAAAAAAUGAAUGGGCAGCUGAAAUUCCUAAAAUCCCUUUUCCAGGAGAGAUUACAAGUCUUGAAUACAAGAUAUUUAGAAAAGAGAGAGCAGCAGCUACUUAACAAGGAAGAAAUCACCAUCAGAGUUUAAUAGGAAACUUUGUGCAUAUAUACAUAUAUAUGCUGCCAAAAUGAGAAUUCAUUGACACUUAUAUGCUAUGUGCUGCCACUAAAAUGUUCUGAAAAUUAUACUACAGUGGAUAUUAAUAUGCUUGCCCCCAAGAGGAGGAAAAGAAGAGCAUAUGCAGACCUGGGUGCUGAAGGCUUGUUCAUGCCUCUUCUUCUUCCUUUUCACCAUAGGAAGAAUAGGAAAAAGCUUGGAAACUAAACAGAACAUUUACUUUAGCAUAGUGCAGGUUGUAAAAGUGUGCUAGUAGACCCUAUAUUAUGCCAAAAUCUCCCUCAUAAUUGUGUAACCACAUGAUACUAAAAUUCCAGCAAGCCAUUUGUUUAUUAUUAUCUUUUGGCCUUUUUUUCUUACAACAUAAUUAUUUUAGUUUCUUAGAAAAGAAAAAAAGAAUAGAAAAACAGUCUGUGUUUCUGCAAACAGCCAAAAAGAUAAGACAUCCAGGUGGCUGUUUGAUAUCCUUUUCCUUGAAAGAAGAUUCAAGGCUUUAAUCAAUCGAGGCACAUCCUACUUCCACCACAAAUUGAUAAGACUCACAUGGUCUUACCGCUUUCAGCCGCAACAGUGCCUUGAGAACACCUCAAAAGACCAUUUGCAGAUGAUCAGCUACUAUAAGAGAUGGUUGUCGCCAUCAAGUUGUCGUAGUUGGAGUGGCGUUACGAAGGUAUAGUCACUGGAGACUCAUGAGCUCCUUGUGAGAUAGAAAGACUCCCAUCGAUGUAUUUGAUUCCUGCAGUCUAUAAAUAAAACAACUAUUUAUAUAACAUAAAUCGACUUUCACAAUACCCACAUCUUUUACUAAGUGAAUUGAUACGUUCGAGUCACAUCUGUAAAAUAAAUAAAUAAAUAAAUAAAAAGAUUUAUUUGCAGUCUUCAUUACCCUGUAAAUGUUUGAUAUAGACACUGCACGUAAGUACUCCCUGUAUUCUGGAAACCCAUGGGCGGUUUGUGGGUGCAGGAUGGGGAGGAAGACGAUCGGGUACAGACAGACAGAGCGGCGAAGAGCUUAUCCGUGUUCCCCUGUCCCGGCAGUACAAAAGAAGGAUCACGAAAGCUGGUUUGUGGAUAACGCCGAAUCUAAAACCCAAUAAAGUCUCAUGAAAACCCACCAAUGCUUAUCCUCAAUGCACCUGCUCCCUUUUUAUAGCCUGCUCUCGCCCUACAAUGAAGACUCAGCUUUCUUCCCGUCUCUGCGCAACGACUGCUGCUGUUGCGGUUCAUGUCAGAAUCAUAUGAAGCUGAGGAUUAUAGGCUUGGAAUGAAUCGGUGGAAGAUCUUAGAGGGUGCUGCUCUUGCAGGGUUAACGCAUGGUAGGGUGGAGGGAAGCCUUGAGGUAUAAAGCAGGAAAGUCGAGAGGCAUCAUAGUCGAGAAUGGAUGCUUCUUUGAUCCCGCAAGGCAGCCAUGGGACCAUGGUUGAGGAGGAGGAGCUAAGGUCUGUGUCUUCGUCGUUGGAGAGUUUCUCGAGAAACUCGAACGCUUCUUCCUCGUCCUCGGACUCCAUGGACGACGCCACCUCUUCUGCGUCGCCCUCGUCGCCUGCAACUGAGAAAGACCAACAUGAUCGCGAGCCGCUGAAUGAGAUGUCUUCGCUGUUAGCUCAUCUUCCGUUGAAGUAAGCAUAUAUCCUCAAGUACACCUCCAUGAUUCAAUCUGUCGAGUGCUUUCGGCCUCAUGCUUACGUGCCUUCCAUCCAUGUUUGGGGAUGUACAUGUUGUAUGAGUUUCUCGUCUGCUUACAUCUUGUUGUAUGAACAGGAGAGGGCUGUCGAGGUAUUACCAGGGGAGCUCUCAGACGUUCACAUCUUUGUCCGAUGUGAAGUGCUUGGAGGAUCUUGCCAAGCCUGAGAGACCACACAGGAAGAAGAUGAAGUCUUGCAGGAGUUAUGUUUGGGGAUUGGACAAUCAGAAACCACUGUUUCCCAAACAGUGUUCCAAGACCAUCACAAAGAAGGCUUCCAAGAGUUCAUUGUCUUGUAUUGGUGGAAGGAGGCACAACUUUGUCAGUGGCAGGCCUGCUGUCCCUCCACACAGAUCAAGCAACUUCUCCGGCCAAUCCCUUUUGCUUGCCUAAUCGAAUGGUUGUACAGUUUAAUACUGAUCAGAAAAAUUUUCAUCUUUUCCUCAGAAAAUUAGAGAAGAUGUCUCUCUCUGUCAAAUAUACAUCAAAGAAUAUCCAACAGAUUGAUGAGAAAUUAACCAAAAUAAAGCUAAAUUUUCUGGGCAAAACUUCAUCUUUCACUUCAGAAGAAAUUGGGAAAAAAUUUUGUUAGUUGAUACAUAGGUUGAACGCAAGUUUUGCACUGGGCUGCUCAUACUCCAAAUUAGAUUUAUAUUCUGCUGAAUGUUGAUGGUAGAUUUUGAGUGCUUUUAAUCUUGAAGGACAAGUUGUUGGUUCUCUUCCCCUUUUUUUUCCUCUUUUUUUUUUUGUGUCUGAGACAAUAAGGCAUUUUACAUCAUUUAGAUCAAACCCAAAAUGGAAUAUUCAUUCUUGUCAUUUGCAAAAAUAAAAAUGUGGAUAAGUAUUUAGUGAUAGGAUUUCCAUCUUACUUCACAAGACAACUAUUUCAUGACUCUUAUUAGCUAUUAAAGAUAUUGAUCAUGCUUGAUAGUAUGAUCACUCAAUUUUUUCUCUAAUUGCGACUUCCCCUAAAUUACUUCUCCAAAUUUGAGCACUCUCUAUUUGCAAAAGAGAAAAAAAGUGGGUAAUAAAUGUCACUUUGGCCUUUGCAACUAAUAGAAACAAGAAGAAAGAGAAAGUUGGGAAUAUCACUCAAAAUUGGCAAAGAAAAAAUAAUGUUGAUCAUCACACUUUAGCAUUAACCAAGCUCAGAAAGCUUUAUAGCAAGAACUGCCAAGCACACUCAAAACAUAACAAUGAGCAGUGCAGCAAUGAGUCAGAUCUCUGGAGGUACUCAAGGCAGCCCCCUCCAGUCCACUGCAUCACAGCACUAACUGUAGCAUUUCAGCCAUAUCUCACACCACCAAAUCCAGUACAAAGACUUGCAAACUUGCUUCCACCAUGAUUGCUCCACUGCACAAUGCAGAGAUGAGGAAUACAGGAAAUUGAUUGUGUUGAUUCUCUUCACAUGUGGUAUGUUUCUUCAGCUACACACCCUGAGAGUAAAAUUUAAGUGAGCUGCACUUUCCCCAGAGAAUUUAAAGACUGAGUUGAGAUCCAUUUCUUUGUCUGAUGGCCAGAGUGAAAUAUAUUAGAAUCGUCGUCCCCAAGCAUGACCUGCCAAUUAAGACCAGAGAAAGAUACAAUCGAGCAUUAUCGUUUUAGGAGACAUCUGAGUGUAACUUAACUACAAGUAAAUAAAACAAAGCAAGGAAGCAUAGAAAUGCAAAUGGUGAACUGUCAGGAUUCAAAUGAGUAAACAGGUACCAAGUGCUGAUAGACCUCGAGCAAUUGGAUCCAAUCAAUAAUUGGAUGUUUUCCAUGUUUAGCCAUUUAAGGCACAUCAACCUAUAACAGCUUCAAUAUAUUUGCAGGGUCCAUUGCCAAGGAAUGCUCAUUUAAUUGGGGAAGGGACCACGGGUACAUGACAUAGCAGUAAUGAUUGCCAACCUUAUUAUGAAUUUUUCCUACAUUUGAAUUUUUGGUAGGUAAAGUAGUUAAGAAGUCCAGGUGACCUUAGUAAAAUGAACGAUCCAGUUACAAGUAAUUGAUGCCACAAACCAAUUCACAGUAACGUUUGCUUCUGCAUUCGUAGAAAAUGAAAUUGCGUCAGUAAACAAUGAAGUAUUAUUAUCACUGAAGACUGAAAUGCUUAUUUGCUGUGUUAGAAGUAUCCUGAUGGAAACUAAUCCAUAGGACAGGGUUGUGGUCAACCAGGUCAGACUGGACCGUAAAACAAAAUUGAUGUUUGUGCAGGUUGAAGCAUCGUCUAAUUGUUUGGCAACAAGUUUGUCACAGACUAGUACUUAAGGUUUAUAUGUUAAUACUAUUACUGAAAUUUUUCAUUUUACAGAAAUAACUUGUCUAACAAACAAGCAUAAAGCAUCAAAUUCGUCUUGUAGAUGAAUAAGAAAAUGGUCAUGAGAAUCAUUAUGAAAAGCUGAAGAGGAAAAUUCGAAAAUAUCUGAUAACAAAUGGAGUUGCACAACUUAGUAUGAUAACAUGAGUUUUAUAGAAUUCAAAUGGUCGGUCAUGCUGUUUCCGUAGUAAAUGUUUAUCAAGGCACUUACAUGGUGGCAAAGACAAGAAGAACUCUGUGUGGAUGGAUGACAGAUAGACGAUUUAAUCUUUUGUGCCCUUCUCCAGAAUCCAGAAGCAUGGGAGCAUUUGCUGCAGAUUGCGCUGUUGUGAGAGAUUUGUUUGUCAGCAGGGACUGCUUCAGCUGCUCCAGCUGAGAAGGUGCAGCUGCCAAGAAAAAGGCAUUCAAGUUAAAAGUCAGGUGGAGUUACUACAAUUUGACAGUCUCAUGCCAUUAUGAGAACAUUGGCAGAUAGUGAACCUUAAUUUUUAACAGCACAAACAAGGUCAAGUUUCAUUCUCAAUAUCCAGUGUGUCGCAACGUGACACACUUGUUGUAGAAAGUUCAUUUUCUACGAUGUACACACAAUUAUAAGUUACAGAGUUAACAAUGUACAACACAAUGUUAUGUGCCUUUUAAUGAGGAAAUUAGUUGUCGUAGAAAGUUCAUUUUCAGAAAUAGGUUGAUACUGCUACCUGGUACUGGCUGAUGCACAAGUCGGUUUUGUGCAGUUAACAUAGGAAGCUUUUGAGAUGGAAUAUUAAACCAAACCAGUUUUUAGUGUUAAUUACAUAUGCUACAUACUUUCCAAAAAUUCAAGAGGGUCAUGGAAAACAGGAUUAUGUACAGCACAUACCUUUGGCCACAAGCCUUUUGGUUUCAUCAUCUGCUUCUUGCUCAUCACUAGUCCGUUUCUCCAUGCGGUUUGAUCCCUUACGAGAAAGUGCCUUCUGUAAAUCAUCGAAGAUUUAUAAAGCUAACAAAUCUAGCAACUAUUUUGUAUAUACAUAUUCCAUGAUAUUUAUAUAUACAGCAAAGAAGGACAAAGUUGAAAAUUGUAGUACACACAGUCAUCUUUGGACUCCCAGCGUAGCAUUUCUCAGGUGGCUGUGUAAGAUUGUCAAUGUCCAAAACCACAUAUCCCCCUUUAUCCAUGGCGGUGACCUGGCAUUGCAGAGAAGUGGAUGGAAAUCAUAAGGUGCUAAAAAAUGAGACAAACAAUAUCACAUGAAGGCACCAAAGGAACUUCAAGAACACCAAAACAUGGUGGCGGAUCACGUUCCAUUAAACAGAUGUUAACUAAUUAAAAUCUUGAUUUAAACCGUGUAACCAAACUCACUUUUACUACUGCAACAAAUAUCACCAUAUACAAGCUUUGUAAGAGUUUCCUAGUUCUGCUGUUUACUUUUUUCCAACAAGUAUUCCAACCUAACAGUAAUAGUCUUCCAUUUCCACAUUCUUUCAUUUUUUUACAUUCAAGCUGACUGCAUCAGUGUGAGAGUGGUGGUGUCAUUACCAGACAAUUGCAAUCACUAAUUUGCUAUUACAUUCUCCUCUUUAUGACUUCCGAUCUGUUUAUAUUUCUCUUGACCUUAUUCUUGAUCAGUAAACUUAUUCUGCCAUCCCCUGCAUUGUAGCAGUUAAUAGUUAGUGUCAUUCCCACUUGCAGUCUUAAUGUUUGAGAAGUCAUCAGCAUCAAAGAAACCAAAAUUUUAUACUAAUAAUGUUCAGUAACUUGUGUUAAAGACUUAAAGUCACUUCCAUCUUGAGAAAUCACUUCAAGUAGCUUCUAAUUCCAAGUCGGCUGCCACCAAAGGGCCUCUCACUGCUGUACAAUUUUAGAUAACAGAGAGCUUGGCAAUGCAUAUAGUAACCUCAACUGCAUCAUCACAACGCUCCAAACAGUGAUGUUCUAAUAGGUCAGACCUAGCAAAUUAUUUAUUAGGACAUGCAAAAAGAUGUAUCCCUUUGAAACGGAAUCUAACAAUAUCUUUUUGGUCCCACAGAAAAUGGAGCUUAUCAAAGAACAAAGUAGACCUAUAAUUAAUUGCAUGUGGAUCUGAAUCGUAUAUAGCCCACCCCCAUUUUUUUUUGCCAUAAAAUAACAUAUCUGUAUGCAAGCAUUUUCACAGGAGCAACAUGAUAUAAAUGUGGAAAAGACCAAACGGAAAUUUUCAUUCGAAUCCAAUAUCUGUAGAUAUUGAAUGCUAGUGAUAGAAAAUUAUGAGGCAAAAAAAAGGAAAGAAAUAUUUUUUUGAACAAAAAUUCAAAAAGCCAAAUUUUCAAGAAGCAAUGAAGAACGAAGAGGAACCACCGCUCUUGCUAAUAUACUCAUCUGAGGUUUCUGUCUCUCAAUUAGCACUAUGGUGUUCCUGAAGAAGCAUCUAAACCUAUAAAAUUGCCCCUUUUUGACAUCUCUUACGUUUGAUCCUCAACUGAAAACAAAUGGAGUCAAUGAAGGGAAGAGAAGCCGCCCUUUUACAUACAAAUUGCAUACUUUGAUGCGUUCAAGGACAGAAAAAUGAAGGAAAAGAAGAGAGAUGAAGACUACAAAUGUAUGCAGAGCUAGAAAAGGAACAUUGACACAGAAUAAUGCAAGAACUAGAUGUCUACUAAACCAAUGUACUACUACAUAGAAGCAGAAGCCUCAGAACGAAACGCACAUGGAGUAAGAUUUUCUCUUCGUUUCCUUAUCAUACUCGAAUAGUAGAGCUAUCCAAUGUGGAUGAGAACUGUACCUCUUUUCUCAACAGGAAACUGGAAGCGAAGCAAAAGCAGAGAAGGCACAAUGGAGAGGAAACAGCUGUUGGAAACGAAUACGAUGGCUUCUUUUUUCCUUCUUCCCUUUUGCAAAUGUCGAUCCUACCAUCGAUUUGUGGGCAUAACUACUCUCGAGAUGGGGUAAGAGGGCAAGAGCACCAGGCUUUAACAGCCACCUUGGCCUCAGAAAAAGAGAAAAGUGCAGCAGCUGCUGCUGCAACACCACCACCACCACCACAGGAGAGAGGGUCUCUCGGAACCGAGGAGGCACUGCAGGAAAAUGUCUCCCAUUUUAUAAGGUCCUGCCACAAAUGGCUCCCAUGCCAUGUCCAUCUCUCCCUUUGUCAGCAAAAAAAUGCCAUUUUUAACUGCGUGACAGCCAGCAAAAGAAUGCCUGUGAGUUACGGAGAGAAAGGUGUGCGCAAGCAUUAGUUUAACCUGGAUCCCACCUACACUUACUGGAUCUCACCACGUGUGCUGUUCUUCUACUUGCUGGGGAGUUCAACCUCCGCAAAGCCCGGGUUGUAAUGAUCGCCCUGAUGAAUUCGGAUCAUACUCUACUCCCGACGAUCCUGUUAAGUAGGUGGAUCGAAUCUCUCCUGUAUCUCGUUGUCUCUUCUGGCCACCGAGAUCCCAUCACUCUUGCGAGUUUGCAGAAUGAUUCAGCCAAUCUAAAUUAUACGGUUCAUUCUUGCACGAAGAGUUGAUGUUAGUAUCCAACACUUGCAUGAAAACGCAGCUGGUGAUCACCACAGAAAGCGUUAUGGGACUCUCCAUUCUCGUGUUCGAAAGUUCAAGCUAUUGAGUGUCAGAUGCAUCAAACGCAUGCUCACAAGAACCUGCACAGCUGCGCGGGAAAUUGCACAAAGAACAGAAGAAACAUGGAGUGAUGUCAUGUCCAUGGAAGGCUCCCAAGAAUAGUACAUCAAUGAUUCGUUGCCCGCUCACGGGACUCGAAAUCGUACCCCAAGCAGUCUCCCAUGAAUACAAAAUGGCGUGGAAGCCAUGUCGGUCAGGAUUAUAAGUGCAAUUUAAUGCGUCUUUUCAGCGUCUGCCAGCAAAGGCAAUCCACUUCCCUACCCGCUACUCUCGUCAGCUUAGACUCAAGCUCGUACCAACCAGAUUUGUUUACUUUCUUCGGUCGCUUCCUCACGUAUGCAUCUCUCGAUGAACAGAGCAGCAGAUGAAACCGGAAGGUUCAGAGAAUGAAGAAGCAGAACUUGGGAUGUCUCCGACUUUAAUUAUUGCUGGGAAUCGACUGGCGGUCGAACUCUCUCGGCUUCACAAUCACACGAUCAAGAUAGACUCUUCCGAGUUCUCUCUGCCCUCCAUCUUCGUCUCCAUUUCCCUGCGGGAGUCAAGCGGUGAUCUCGAAUGUAAAUUUCCUCCCAUGGCCAUCACGGACUCACGCUGUGGUGAACUGUUGUUUCAGGAAGAUUUGAAUCGACGUUGGUGGUUCCAAGCUCAUCAAACGCUCGACUCUCUCCACAAUCAACGCCAUGGGUCAGGCACAUGCGCGUUUUGACGAAUCUCGAUGAUGAUGAUGAUGUGAGGAUGGAGCGGGCAGAAUUGGGUAAUGAAUCUUCGGACUUCUGGCACGCAGAGUAGUUGGUGGUGGUUAGUGGACCUCAGGGGUUUAUUACUAAAUGUAAUCUUAAAAAUCUAAUUUAAAAGUGGAUUAGAAAAGAUUCGAUGAUUAGAUAAUCAUUGCCUACAACAUUAUAUUUGAUGUUAAAAAUAUAUCCUGAAUGAUUCAUAUUUAAGAUAUUGUUUUCUUUCAUAGUCGAUCAAAUAUUUUGGGAUGUUCGACAAGUUUGGUGAGUAUAAUUCUAAUUCGAUUCAGAACCGUGAAAUCAAAUAUUUUGGGAUGUUUGAUGUGGCUUGUGGUAGGCAUGGAGCAACCAUGUCAACAAGAGCGUCGAGCACAAGGUGAUGACCAACGGAGCCAUGGAGAGGUAUUCGGUGGCAAACAAUCAAUCCCGUAACCAUCUUAAUUAGUCUCACAUGAAUUCAAAUUAACUUAAAAUGAAUGUAUUAUUAUUAAUUUUAAUUUAGUCAUUUUGAUUAACGAUUUAGGCUCAAUAAAAUUACUAAAAUAAUUAUCUCAUCAAAGUGAUCAAUGUAGGAAUCCACUUGAUUAUGAUGUGAUCCCAGAUGGAAAGUGGGCAUUAGCAUUUAGGGUGGAGAGACCCCGUGCACCAUGCCAGCUUUGGUCCGAUUUAUCUUGUUCUUUUUCUCUCCUUCAUAUUUUAUUUUAUUGUUGUUCUUUGGAGUCAUAUGGGUGUUUGCUACGAUCGAGUACGUUAAACUAUAUGAUUCUAUUUAAUUAGAUAAGAUAUAUUAUAGAUUUGAUUAUAUUCUAAUUAUAGUUAUCGAUUAAUUAAAAGAAAAUUUACUUAUGAUAAGAUUCAUUACGAGAUGAGUGUGACGAAAAGAACUUUUCUAAUUAGACCUUUAUUUUUAAUUAUAAAAAGAUGACUUCUUACGGAUGAAUCAUCAAAAUUUAAAAUUAUAAAUAUAUUUUUAAUUUUUUUAAUCGAUAUUUUAUUAUAGUCAUAUAAAGGAUAGAAAAUGAUAUAAUUCUCCUUAUAAAUCAAUAUCAUUGCUUCAUUCGAAGUGAAUGACGGUGUAUUUGCAUAUUAGAAUAAAAAUAUUCUGAAUGACAUAGAAAGGAAUACAUUCAUAAUAUUUUAUUUAUAAAUAUUUAAUUUUAAUAUUUGAUAUUAAAUUUUUUUUAUAUAAUAGUAUAAUUAUAGUUUUAAUGAUAACAAUUGGUAUAAAAAAAAUUUUGAAAUCAAAAUACAUUAGAUCAUAAAAGUAUAUCUAAGUUAUUUUAUUUUUAGAUCUGUUUCUUAAUGUUCUUGGCUGAUCGACAGGCUGUUGAGGGCAGCUGACUGGUGAGACGGUUGCUGCGUACAGUAGCCGAGCAGCUGAAGUGCUAUGACAAUCCCAUUUCAUGCGGCUGUUGCCACCGUCGGUGGUAGCUACUUUAGUGGCGUUGCUCCUACCUACAACGGUAAGAUUUGGUCGCAGGCGGCGCUACACAUCGUCGGGUGCGCUGGCACGAAGAAAUAGCGGACGACAGGAGGGCAGCGGCUGUGUAGGUAGUUGCCGGCCGUAGAGAGGAUCCUACCUUCGGUGAGGGUGAAGCAGGUUGCAACAUGGUGAUGGCCAUUUUCCAAGGUAGGGUGGAGGCCGCCAGUGAGCGAUCACGUGGUCAUAGAUGGUGGCCUGCUGCAGAGGGAUUGCGACGGCGACUCACAGUGGAGGCAUCGCAUUGGCGGGGUUGUAUCAUAACACGCCCCGGACGGUGGACGCACUGUAGGAUGGUUCCACGGACGAUAGCAUAGGCGGCGACGGGCGUCAAUGCAUGGCGACCACGUGACGGAGGUUCCGCGGUGAGGAAGGCCAUGGGGUGUCCACGGCAAGGUGUCGCCUGCCGAUCCAAUGAAAAGUGGCCGCCGUGAGGUUACCACACGGUGUUUGCUGACCGAGGCCGGCGCCGCGCAAGCACUGAAGGAGCUACACGCAGGUUGCGCCGGAGGAGCCGCGCAGGUUGGUGGAGGCGUCGCGUGGUGCUGUAGUGGAUGCAGGUUGUCGGUGGGUCAUUAGCUGCCAAGGAUCGUGCGCGGUGGAGAAGCCGCAGAUCGCGGAGGUGCCAUGCACGGGCAAGAUUUAGUGCUGAUUUAGUCAAGAUUCAAUUUUGAACCAAAAUUGUCCGAGCCUUAUAAUUUAGGCUUUUAGAUUCUUGAUCUAUGAAUUUUGACCUGAUCAAUCCUGAUUUUGUCUUAAUUUGGGGAAGUCCAAUUUUUAACCUCGAUUAUGGCCUAAUCUGAUUUCAAGUUCGAUCAAUUUUUACCUCGAUUAAUCUUAAACUUUGACCAGACUUGAAUUUUGACUAUAGCUUAGCUGAUUUUGAUCUAGCUUGAUUUAGACUUAAUUUGAUUAGAAUUUACUUUUUGAUCAAUUUUGUUCUCGAUCAAUUUUUAUUUUUAUCGUAUCCUAAUUUUGACUGAAUAUGACUUUAGUCAACUGACCUAAUUAGAGUGAUGUUAUGCUCAAAUCCAUAAACCCAAUUCGGAUAGUCCAAUUCAAGACUUAAAUAGGGUUGAUUGGUUUAAUUUAGGGUUCAUAUGAAGUUUUUAAAAAAACAUAUAAAUUAUGAUUUUUUAUAAUUUUCUCAUAUGAAAUAUUGGUAAUUUUUAUUUACUUGUGGUGAUUAAAUUUUAAUUAUUACUUUUAGAUAUUUAUGUGAUUAUUCAUAUGUAUAUUAAAAAAUAAUAAAAUAUUAUUUAGUUUUUACAUAAAGGAAUGAUUUAUGUUUUAUAAUAAUUAUAAUCAUUAUAUAAGUUUUUCUUCAUGCUUAUUAAUAUUCAAGAAUUAUUAUAGUUAUUAUAUUAUUAUUAUUAAAUGAUAUAUAUAUAUAUAUAUAUUAAAUAAAUAUUAUUUAUAAAUUAUUUAUUAAAUUCUAUUUAACUUGUAACUAUCAAAGUAGCCUAAGAUGAUAAACUUAUAGAAUGUGAAUUAUAAUAAAUAUUUUAUUAUUUAUAUAAUAUUUAAGAUAUAUUUUAUAUUCUUAUAUUUCUCUCGUGGCUCCCACAUGUAUUUUAUAUAUAUAUAUAUAUAUAUAUAUAUAUAUAUAUAUAUAUAUAUAUAUAUAUAUAUAUAUAUAUAUAUGUAUAUAUAUAUAANNNNNNNNNNNNNNNNNNNNAUAUAUAUAUAUAUAUAUAUAUAUAUAUAUAUAUAUAUAUAUAUAUAUAUAUAUAUAUAUAUAUAUGUAUAUAUAUAUAUAUAUAUAUAUGUAUAUAUAUAUAUAUAUAUAUGUAUAUAUAUACAUAUAUAUACAUAUAAACUUGAGCAUAUAUAAUUUACACUAUUAAAACUAUUACAAAUUCUAUGAAAUAAUUGAAAAAAGUCUAUUUAUGCUUAUCUUUAUGACAAUUACUAAUAAUAUUUAGAUUUAAUUAUAUAAUAUAAUUUAUAUACUAAAAUUUGUUAAUAAGUCAUUGAUUAACACCUUAAUGAAAAUUUGAUCAUACAUUGAUAUUACAAUAUUCAAAAAAUUCUUGAAUAUAUCCUUAUUAUAAUUGAUAAAACUAUAAAACUCAAGAAUGUUACACAUAGCGAGCCCUUCUCGUGUGAUUCAUUUUUAGUUUUCUUUCUUCUUAGUUUGUCUUAUUUAAAAGUUAUUAUAAUAUAAAUAAAGAAUAACUACAAUUUAAAUGAGCUGACUGGCAUAUGAAAAAAAGUCUCAUUAUAUUUUAAUUACUACUUGAAGAAUAUAUAAUAAUAAUAAAAAUUGAAGCAUAAUUUAGCAAGUAAAUAAUAUAAAUCAAUUGAGUUUAUAAAGACUAUACAAACUCAUUAAAAAAAAUCUUUAUAGUAAAAUGCUACUUUUGUAGUAAGAAAGGUAAUAUGAAAAAUGAUUAUAAGAUUUGUUGUAAAAGGAAAUGAUAUAAGUUGACGUUUAUAUGUUUUGAAUUAAAUAUUAUAUAAGUCUCUUUGAAUAUUCGAUAGAUUAUACUUGAUGCUUUUGACUCAUGUUACUAAUAAUGGAAAGAAUUUUGUUUUAACCUUAAAAAGUCAAACAAAUAUUAAAGAUUCAUCAUUACAUCAAAUAAUUUUAAGUGAUAGUUAUAGUUACUCAUUACCAACAUUUAAAGAUGAUUCAUUUGAUAAAUUUUGAGAAUUGAUGCUAUGUUCCUAUAAUUCUAGAAAUUUAGUUUAUUUAUUAAGAAUUAUUAUGAAAUUAUCUUUCUUUUGCUGACGAUAAACUCGGUAUAGUUUAUGAUUUAAUAAAAGUUGAUUAUGAAAUUUUGUAUAUUUUAUGAUUAUGAAAUCUUGAGUUUAUAAUGAUCCUAAAGUCAAAUAUUUGGAUAUAUAUACUUAGAUAUGUGGGUCAUUCUCUUUUUUCAAUUAUAUAUAUAAAAAAUUAAUCAUCUUUAUAGAUGAUUUGUUAAAAUAUGACUAUAUAUAUCUAAUUUAAUAUCUUAGGCUUAUGACACAUCUUAUGUAUAUAUAAAUAAAGUUGAGAGAUAAUUAUAUAGAAAUAUUAAAAUUUAUUAGAUUUAAUAAGAAUAGUAAAUUUAUGGAUGAGGAUCAUAAUUUUGAUCUCUUUGCUAUAUACAUAUAUAAUAGUGAAUUAAUAGGAGCAAUAAUCUUGAAACAUAAUAAUGGGAAUAUAUCCUUUAUCAUUUUCUAUUCAAGAAAUUAUUGUUUCAUCACUAUGAAUUGAUGAGGGUAAAUAAUAAACUAAUAUUGAUAAACUCCUAUGAUGUUGAUGUGAUUGUUAAUAAUCUUUAAAAUGACCUCAAUCAAUAGCUUUAAGAAGAUCUUAAAGAGAAAAAGAGAUAUAUCAUUUUUUAUAAUUAUGUGAUAUAUUUAUAAAAAUCAGAUUAUAACAGAGGAAUUAAAAGAGACAUUUUAUCAUUUUCACAUGCCAUGAAAAGUAAUGAUUGUAAAAGGUAAUACAAUGUAAUAAAAGAAGAGUUAAUAUUAAUGGACUAAAGUGGAAUUUGAAAAGUCAUCAAAUUAUCUAAUAAUUAUAAAAGGUAAUGACGAAUGAUAUAAAGUCAGAUUUGAAAUCAAAUAUUUUACUCAAGGAAGGUAUCGAUCAUAAUAAGAUAUUUUUUUUUAAUUUUUAAAUAAACUCGUUAGGAAUUGUCAUGGCAUUGGUAGCUACUUAUAAUUUUAGGUUAUAUCAUAUAAAUAUGAAAAUUUAAUUUUUUUUAAUGGGGAUAUAGAUGAACAAAUUUACAUGAAAUAACCAAAAGGAUUCAUAGAGAAGAAAAGGAAAAUUUGACUUGUAUUUGGACGAUGGUAUAUAAAGUUUCAUAAUAUUAUUACUUCCUACGAAUUUAGACAAAAAUUAAAUAAAAAUAUUUUUUUAAAUGGAAAAUCUAUUAUAUGCUUAAGCCUAUGCUAAAUCAUAAUAAAAAUAGCCAAUCACGUAAGUGAUGACACGUGUGACUUGACACAUAGUCUUUUUUCAUAUUAUUAUUAUUGAUUAAUAUUUUAUCACUUUAUAUUGCCUAUUGUAUAAAUAUAUUGUGAUGUCUAUGAAUUUGUGUAAUGAGAAUCAGAUCGUGAAGAAAGUAAUGAGACUGAUUUACCUUUAAACACAGAUCCUAAAUAAUCUAAAUCAUAAGUUACUCAAGAGGGACAUCGAGAUAACCAAACAGACUAGUGUGUUGUAUAUAUAUCCAUAUGAUGGAUGCAGUUGGUCCUAUAGCUGCUCGUGUGGGGAUACUCAGGAUACAAUGCAGGUGCUCAUUGGAGAAUGAGUUCACUGAUUGAUCCACUUACGGAAUGCUGGAUGGUUGAUGAUGCCUUAUUGUCAGACAACUAUUCCGUCGUCCUAGUAGUGUAUUUGAUCUUUAGACUUGAGACACAAAGGAUGUCUUGUAUAAGUACUACACUCUUUGAUGCUAAACUUACAAGUUUGGAGAUUCCAAAUCUAACACAACUGAUUAUUGGGAGUGGUAGCUAACCUUACGAUGAUUAUUGAGUGUCGAUAAAGGAUCAUCUGCUCUCGAUAUCAUAAGAGGAAUAUCCAUGUAUUCUUGCUGAGAUAAAUCCCUAGCUAGGGUCAUUCGGAUUGAAAGAGAGAGUUCUCCGAGAGAAUCCAAUUAGAGUAAGACUCGAGUAAAAACUAUAUGGGCCUGACAGUACCAUGCCCGGUAUAUGAUCUUUGGGGUAUUAGAUGGAUGAGAGAUUAUAGAUAAAUAGUAACUGAGGACAGAUAGGUCCAAAAUAUUGGAUUUCUUUGUAUCGUUUGGGGACUGUGGCAUAGUGGACUAGUAUGUCUGCAAUCGAUGAGUCGAGUGAAUUAUUAUGAAGAUAAUAAUUCACUAAGCCAAAAGGAGUUCUGACAGGUAUGACUCACGGCCAACUUGAUAUUGAGCCUAGAGGGUUACACACAUAUAAUAGGUGUUGCGACGAGUAGAGGUUCUGAUAUGAGAUAUCCGCCGGACCUCCUAUCUUAUUGGAUAUCUAAUAAGCCACUGAAUUAUUGGAUCUUAUGGAUGAGAUUAAAUAAAUUGACAAUGGACCUUUAUAAAUAGGAGGGAACCAAAUACUCAUACACUAGAGGUUUGCUAGGUUAUCACCUCCUAUUCUCCUCCUCAGAUAAUAGGCCUAGAGAUUUGAGGAGCGUCGUUGCAGCCCUGGUGUGUAGAUCAUUGUUGAAGAAGAGGACGCUUGACCUCCUUCAUCAUCUCUUAUAGAUCUACAAGGAUUUAGGGAUAUACGAUCUCCUUAUGUAACACAACUAUUGGUUUUUAGUUUUGCAGAUUUUGUGCAUAAAUCUUCGCACGAUGACGAACAUAUUUUUAAAAAAAUUGGGGAUUUUAUUUUUCUAUUCUUCUACUACGCAUGUGAUAUCGCCCAUAUAUUUCCCUACAAUGGUAUCAGAGCUAAGUGCGAUAUAUUGAUUUUGAAUUUGGUGUGUUAUGUUUUAGAGAAGCUUUUGAUGUCAAAAUCGUUGACACAAUAGCGAGAAAGGGCAGCAAUUGUUGUUGCCCUUGCUGUCAUUUAUGAGCGUGCAGUCUCCUGCAAUGACAGUCGCAAGGGCAACGACCAUAGGCAGGCGGCACAACGUAGGUGCAAGCGUAGCAAUUGUUGCUCAGUGCAGGCGCUAUGCUUGUAGCAGCAAGCUGAGGACCUGCUUGCAUUAAGCUUGCGACCCGUGGGCGCAGCCUACGAGCAGCCCACCCGCAAGGGUGAUUUAACGCCCGUAAGCAAGGCGACGCUAACGGGCACUGCACCCGUAGGGGCAGCGCCCGCUAGCAAGGGCUACCACCGGCAUGGUGGCAAUGACCACAAAAAGCAAAGGCAAGGGAGGGAAUUAGGUUUUUGGACAAAAGAUAGUUUUGCCCUUAAAAUUUCAGAAAUUUCGAGUUCUAUCAUUUUUUUUGUCCAAAUUAUGAAAAUACCUCUCUUAAUUAAAAAAAACUUCCUAAAUGUCCCUAAUUUUAUAAAAUAUUAAUUAAUUAAAAAGUUUAAUUAAUUAUUAUUAAUAUUAUCUAUUAGCCUUACAUAAUGAUAUUUACAUAUGAUCUAUGAUGUGGACGGAUGAUCAUGAACCGUGUGAUGUGCGUGUACUUGUAGUUAUUAUUGGGGCUUGUGAGCUUCCAUUUUAUUUCUCGUUUAUUAGUGGGCCGGCGUGCCUAUAAUUAAGUUGUAAUCACACGAGGAGGCGCAACGGGAGUGUGAAAGCGAUAGUAGGACCCACGAGGUCGAGACGGAUGAUCGCGAUACAUAGAUUUUGAUGUGAGUGAUUAGGCCCACUAGCUCGGGCCUGAUCACAUUAGGUUGUAGUCCAUGAUCAUCUGGUAUGAUUGCUUAUGUGAUAUGUGAUUGCUUAUACAUAUACUAGAUAUGUAUAUAUAUAUAUAUUUGUAUGUGAUGUAGAUAUAUAUUAAAUAUGUAUGUGUAUGAUAUGUCAUACAAGGAGACCAAAUCAAAAUCCCUUCUCUCGAUAAUAUUAAGUCGGUAAAUGUGAGGCAAUUAGAUUGACCCAUAUGAUAUUCCAUCAUUAUAGGUAAGGAUCGAUUCUCGAUGUAGAUUGAGUUGGUCGAGUCCCUUGAGGCUCACCUAUAUCGUGAUUCGCUAUCUUGCCUACGACAUAGAGAUGUCACCGGUGACUUAGAACAUGAUAUGCUUGGUCGAGUCCCUCGAAGGUACAUCAUCGAAUUAGACUCAUAUUGUAACGAUGGUGUUGAUUUAACCAAACAUCAUGGUUAGUCGAGUCCCUUAAGACCAUGGUGGUUCAGAGGUCGAAUAGGACGAGAAUCACAAGGUGUUAUGAUCAGCAAGAGUUGCCUACCUUUUGGGUUUAGUGUGAUUGGUCGAGUCCCUCAAGGUUACACUAAAAUGCUGAUUUGAUCCCGAUCCCCACUAAAAGUCUGCCGGAGACUUCUGUUUCACAUGCUGAGGGUGUUGUAUGACUCGCCAAAAAAAUAAUGAGAGUAGAUUAAAAUAGAAGUUCAUAUCUUAUUUAUUUAUUUUUUUACAAAAUAUACAUGCUAUUUAUUUCUAUUGCAUCUUUAAUUUCAGAAAAUAUCAUUUUCAAAUCUCUUACGUGGCAUACUUGAUGUCAACCGCAUCAUUAGUCCGAAUUAUAUAGAUUGGCUCCGCAACUUCAGAAAAUCACGUACGUUUUUGAUACAAUGAUGCCUACACCCAAGGAAGGGGCAAGCGACGAUCAGAUCACUCGCUACGUGAAGUGCAUAGAUGACUCCACUCUUGCUCAAUGUUACAUGUUAUGCUUCAUGACUCUUGAGUUACAAAGAUAACACGAAAAAAUAGAUGCUAGAUCCUUUUUUUCAUAUGUCCGUAAAUUGUUUGAGGAACAAAGGACUCAGUGACAUGAAAUAUCCAAGAGCCUCUUCCACGCUAGGAUGAUUGAGGGGAUACCGGUUUAGAACCAUGUUCUAAAGAUGAUUGAGUGGAUAGAAAAACUCACAGGUCUAAGAUUGGUCCUAGAGGAUAACCGGAUCUUGUGCUUCAGUCCCUACCAAAUUCUUUUUCACAGUUCAUAAUGAAUUUUAAUAUAAAUAAGCUUCAGGUGACUCUCCCUAAGCUCCUCAAUAUGUUGAGAGAGACAGAGAGCACUAUCAAGAAAGAGAAGCCAAUACUCUCUACUGGUGAGACCGGAAAGAAAAGGAAGGCAGAAAAAUCCCUUAAGAAGGGUAAGGGCAAGGGCAUACCAGGUAUAACAAAGCUUGCUAAGAAAGACCCAGCAAAGGACAAAUGCCAAUGUUUCCACUUUGGCAAAGAUGAGCAUUGGAAUUGGAUACCUAACAGAGAUGGUGAAAUAGAAGUUUGGAGAAGCUUCAAGUACAUCCAUGAUCAAUCUCCAUUUAUCAGACUCUUAUGAUACUACGUAGGUAUUGGAUACCAUAGUAUAAAUUGAGGUCAUUAAUCAAGCUUUAUGAUUAUGAUAUUUAAAGAAUAUGUUCUCAUGAUUGGACUCGUGAGUAACCCAUAAAUAAUAUGGUGAUACAUGUUUGAGUAAAUAUUAUAAUUAAUAUUUUUAUUUACAUAAUUAAUAUUAUUUGUUUAUGCUAUUCUAUUUAUAUAUAUAUUAUAAAUGAUUAUGAUAAUAUAAUUAUCUUAAAAAGAUAAAUUAUAUAGAUCGCUGUAUUAUGAAAGAUUAACAGUGUUAUGAUACAUAAAAGGAAGUAUGACAUUGAUGAUAUAUAAUAAUUAUGACUUACAUGAGUAGUCGAACUUAAUAUAAUAUUAUUAUAUUUAUUAAACUUGUUCACCUAUUUUAAAAUUUUUGGCCAUGUGUAAAAUACUUUUAAAAACUUUUAGAAUAUAAUUAAGUAAAAUUAUUUUUAAAUAAAAUUUUAUUUUUAUUUUUAUUUAUUUUUAUUUUUUUAUAUCUUAUCAUUUAAUGGGCUUAGAUCAAGUGACCCUAUUUAAUUAAGUAGUAUAUAUUAUUGAUUUGAUUAAAUUUUGAUUAUGAUUAUCGAUUAAUUGAAAAAAAAUCCAUUUAUUAUAAGAUUACUUAUGAGAUGAUGUUGAUGAAAGUAAACUUUUAAUUAUAAUCUUAUACCUUUUACUCUCGCUUAUAUAAUGAUAGAACGAUGGUAUAUUUAUAGACAAAAAGAGUAGAGAAAACAAGCCUAAUUCUUUUUAUAGAUCAAUAUCGUAGCUUUCCUUAUAUCAAACCAUACUACGUUUGUAGAUUAGAAGAAAAAUAUCUUGAAUGACUUUGAGAGAUGCAUAAUCAUAAUCUUUGAUAAAUGAUUAUUUGAUUUUAUUUUUUAAUAUUAAUUUUUUUUAUAUAACAAUGUAAUUAUAAUUUUUAUAUUAACAAUGAUUAGUAAUUUAAGCUUAAUAAAAUUAACAUGAUAAUUAUCUCAUCAAAUCGAUCAACUCAUGAACCCACUUCUGUGAUUGAAGAUGAAAAGUGGCCAUUAUUAGCCUUUAGGGUGGAGAGUCCCUGUGCACUGUGCGGGAUUUGGUCUGACGUAUCCUGCUAUUUGUUCUUUGGUCUCCUGCUGCUUUUGUUCUCUUCUUCCUCUUUUACUUUCUUGUAGUUCCUUGGAGCCGUGUCGGUGUUUGCUUUCAUGUUGUUCCCGGGAGCCGUGUCGGUGUUUGCUGCAGCGGAGCUGGAGAUCAAGAAAUCCAUGUUUUAGCUCGGGUUGCUUAUACCUCGAAACAACUGUGGAUCCCCGAAAAGAAUGAACCAGACUUAGCUUUUACGCCCAUGCUAGUGACGCUUCAUCAGAAUAUAAUAACUCAGCCAUGGACGCUACCAGCACACCAGACACAGAAAAGCCCACGCUGCCUUUUGCCGUGGCGCAACACCGCCUCUCUCUCUCUCUCUCCCCCUCGUCCCCUGGGAACAAAGUGAAAGCGUGCUGCUCUGCCAGUCUACACCUUCAGUCUCAAUCACUGUUCUGGCACUCAUUGGCCGGCGGUUGAUCUCACAAGCAAACAAAAAGAUCACCAGAAGUGUUGAUCAAAGGCGUGGUUUGGAAGCUGUCUGUGUGUAAUCCUGCAAAGAGACAACAGAUUAGGGGAUGCAAUAGGCAGCACUGUUAAACAACAGUUCUUCUUAAUUUAAUUCUUCUGGGAUUAAAAAUAAGAGAAAAGAUUAAACAUUGCAUUGAAUAGAGAUUUUUCAUGAGAAGGUACAUGAACUUCCGAGUAGGUGCAUGACGUUUAUAGAUAGGAUUCAUGAUCUCGAGAGUCCGAAGAAAACUUGUCUUUGUAAAAGCACUUUGUUUGUAGAAAGGUUAGGUGAAUCAAUGUGGAGCCAAUAGCGAGUUGACAGAGUCAGAUGAAUCAGUGAAAGGUCAAGUUUAAGUAUUAGAUUUAUUAUAUUAUUAUUGUUACAUAAAAUAAUUAGUCACUCUAUCAAAUAUAUAUAUCAUAUAAUUUUUAAAUAAUUUUCUUGAAGAAGUAUUUAUAGAAUUGUUUUUGGAAUAUAUUAAAAAUGAGAAUGAAGAAAUUUUUUAUAUGGCCUAAAUCAAAUACCUAAAUAGUGGAAUUUUAAAAUAGAUAUUUAUUUUAAGUAAAAUUAUUGUAUUUAAUGCUCUUAUGAGAGUAUAAAGAAAAGAAGAUAUAUUACUUAUUUCUGUGUAGGUAGAUUUCCAGUAAAUCGUGUGAUAAUCGACAUUAGACUCGUGUCUUAUUUUCUUCGUAUUCAAAUAAAAUAUUAAAGAUAUCUUUCUUCUAAAAAAGUACAUAUAAAUGAAAUUAUAAAAAUUAAGAUGGGAGUUUGUAGUACCAUUAAAACACCCAUAGGAUGUGGUAUGUAUGACAAGAUUAUGUGAUAAGGCAAUUGAUCGUAUAUACUUCAAUAAAAAAAAUUAGAUAUUUGACAUAUAAGUUGAUUUAAGAAAGAACUUUUAAGUCAUUAAUACCGUAACUCGUGAAUUUCUAUAUUCGUAUUCCAAUAGUAUGUUGUUAGCUAUUGAAACAGUGAAGUAUAGAAAUUUAGAAAAUCCAAAAAUUCAAUUGGCUUUACCUAUUUCUUGAUAGAUAGAUAGUAUCUUCAACCUGUAUUUGAAAAAAAUAAUAUAUUGCGACAUACAUGUAAGGUGGAAUAUAUGACAAUAUCUUUAUAUCCAUAUUAUGUUAUAUGGUUUCGAAAGCUCAAUCAAGAAAUUAUAUAAUAAAAUAAUAAAAGUUUAUAAUGAUAAUAAAAAAUAAAAAUAUUAGCUAAAAAAUUAAUUUGUUAUCAUAAAAACAAAUACAUUGACGUUUAUUUUCAUUUUUUAUAGGUAAAACAUGACAAUGAUAUAUAGGUAAUCACUAUAUGAUAAUAUGUGGUCGAUAUAUUGAUCGUCAAAUAGCGUUGGUUGCUCGUGCGCAACUCAUGAUGAUCAAAUUAGAAUACUCAUAAUCACUAUGUGGUGAUAAGUGAUCGACUAGUUAAUCAUCUGAACCUUAUUGAUAUAGUCAAUUAGUGUGAGCAUUGGGUGUGGCGAUCGUUAUGCCAUAACUCAGCUCGAAACACCACACGUCUCUCUCCAACCUUGUAAAAUUCCCCUAAGGAUACUUUAAAACACAAUUCAUUUUUAGCAUUAAUCGAUUAGUUCAACCAAUUUGAACCCCUAAAUUAAUAUGAUCGUUAAAUUGGUAUUUGUCGAAAACACUCCCGACUUAGUUUUCACAUAUUCGACAUUGUACGAAUCAUGAUUUCAACUGAGAUUAACUUGAAAUAUAUAUUAAUUAGAUCUGAAUCAUCAUUCUAAUUUAGACAAUCAGAACCUUUACUAAUAGUUUUAUUAAGGAUCAUAUCAAAUAUCAAAUUAUAGAUAUAUUCAAUAAGUCCCUCAAGUCAAAAUUAUUUUUAAAUUAAAUAAUUUGCUUGGGGUGUAGGAUGAGAAUAAAUUAAAUUUAAUAGAUGUUAAGUAAUAACAUUAAUUUAAUUCCUCUUAAUUCAAAGUAUGUUUGAUAAUACGAAAAGGUGUAUAAAAAUCAAACAACCGUAUUAAGUAGGCAUUUUCAGAAAGAGUUACAUGAACCUUUGGACAGAUGCAUGACGUUCAAUGUGACAUUUCAUUAGAUGCUCUCGAUCCGUAUUAAUAUAAAUAGAUAGGGAUUAAUGGCAUUGAGAGUCCGAGAAAAAUUUGUCUUGAGAGAGAAAAUACAUAAGAGAUUCGUUUGUCUCCACCAAAGUUUCCCGCUCUCUUCCUCUCACUCUCUUUUCUCUCUCAACAGUUUUGUUUCAUGGAGCGCAGCGUCGACGAAAUGAGCAAUGAGUUCGACGAGGUGUUGGCGGCAGCCGCGGACGUGAUACAGGCGAGGGAAGCAUCGUUCGGCCUGCGGACGGCGGCGACGGAUGCGGCGCUCGAGAAGUUUAGGCAGCGGUGGGGACUCUUCAAGUUGUCAUGCGACCGGGCGGAGGACGUGGUCGACUCGGCGAGGAGGAGUAUCAUGGCAGAGCGUCUGAUGGACGCGGCCUCCGGGAUGGCACCGGGGCAACCGGAAACAGCGGGGUUGCAGCAUCUCAACGUGCCCCGCUUUGAGCGGGCGCUCCACAAGGUCAACUCCGUCGCCGCGGACCUCGGACGUGGAUCGGCUGCCAUGGCCGCCGCCUCCUCAUCCGGCCCCUCCGCUGCGACACCUUCCGUAGACAAGGCGGAUUGAGGUAUAUCUGCUCUGCUUGAGAUGACGCUGUGACGAGUUCGGAACGCUGCCUAUGAGCUGUGCAAUUACCUUAUGUACAGUGAAAACAAGUAAUUCGAUACCCAGUGCUACCUUCUCCUUUCUAUUCACAUUUCUAGCGACAUAUAUCAUCACCUACAGAUGAGCUGAUUCAAUUUCAUAGUGUAAUGCAACAUGAUUUAGUUUGAGCAGGUGAUCUUACGAUUCAAACAGACGAGAGUAACCAACCAAGUCUCUAUCCUUUGAUCCCUGUUCACUCGACAUGAAACUCGAUGCUUUUACAUAAUCAUUACUUCUCCGUCUCACAGGUUCGUCGAUAAGAGAAGCGACGGUACAUGACAAAGCAUCACUCUCGGUGGUUGCUCAAUCCAUUUUUAAGCUUCAAUUUCAUUUCUCCCUUCCCAUCAGAUUCCGCCGAAGAAGACAAGAUGAUGUAUAUAUAUAUUAGACACGUGAUGGUGGAAGCGAAGCUGAAAGCAAUUUAUUAGACACGUGUUGUUGAUCAUAUAGGUGACCAAAAUUUAUUUUUGUGCCAUUCAUAAAACGUUAUAAUUUAAGAAUUUUAUCGCAAUGGCCCAAUUCAAUAUAUGUUCUAUUUUUUAAUUUGAAUUAAUUGGAAUUCUAGAACGGCUCAAAAUAAUAUAAUUUUAAAAUAUCAUAUCUAUUAAUACUAUUAAAAAUACAGAAAUUUUAAAAAAUUAAAAGAUUGGCUUCAAACAAGUGAUACAAAAUUAUAAGAUAACAAAAUAAAAUAACUAUAUAUUAAAGUGAUUUAAAAUAAUAUCUAACGAUCAUGACAAAACAUUUGCGUUCGAUCGGAGUCCGAGACCUUUGCAGCCUUGGUACCGAUGUAACGCUGGCGAAGCUGUUGACCAGCGGGAUGCGGUGGUGGUUGUAGUUGCCCUUGAACUCGACGUAGGUACCAGUUCUCUUCCCCUCGCAUUGCGCAGCUCCAGCCGCCCAUUCUCUUCCUUCCACACCACCCACUUCUUCCUCUCCCCCGCCCCAAGUCGCCCCUCAAAAUAUCUCCUCCUCCUCUCGUCCUACUAUUCCCUCGCUCGCUCGCUCCUUGCUCGCGAUGGCGAUUCCCUCGUUGACUGAUCGGAAUCCCACGGGCCUUGUGGCUUGAAUCCCGUCAAGUUUCCCAGUUCGAAUGGUCGAUGGUCGAGUCCUGGCUGCGGUUCUUGCCUGGAAUCGAUGUUCCAUGUCGACCCCGAUGUGAAUCGCGCUGCCCGUCAUUGGAUCGGGUUCAGCGCGGCGUGCCCUCUUUCUUGGCAUGUCGGUGCCGCAGGAUUCCUUCGGAGUAGCGACUCAGAUACGAGAUGCUGGCGGAGGUAGAAAUCGGCAUCGGCUUGGUCGUAGAAUUGGUAAAAGAUUGCGUUUUGGGAUUCUCUCGAAUGAGCUUCGAUUUAGGUGCGCGGCAUCUACGCCACCGGGGAAGAGUGGUAACCCCAACUUGCCCGUUGAUUUGGUUAGCUCUGCUAGGGGAACUGUCAUCAAACAGAUUUCGGGCAAGCUGGACAACAAGGAUCCGAAACACUUGGCGUCCAGCUUUACGAACUACAGGGACGAUCCUUUGGUGGAUAAGCAAAGGACGCAGCUUGGCGUGAUUCGUUCCAUCCCUUCUCCGCCCAUAAAUAGGAAUAUCGCAGGCUUCUUCGUGCUCUUUUUCCUCGUUGGAGUGGCUUUCGACAAGGUUUGGAAUUUAAGGAAGAGGGAGAAGUCGGCCCGGGACGUCGACAAUGGCACGUGGCCACAGGCACCAACGAGCCUCUCUAUAUUUCUUGAGAAGGACCUUCGGAGGAAAGAGUCGGUCGAAUGGGUAAACAUGGUCUUGGGGAAGCUUUGGAAGGUCUAUAGGUCCAGAAUCGAGGAUUGGGUUAUUGGGUUGCUCCAGCCGGUAAUAGAUAACCUCAAAAAGCCUGAUUAUGUGCAGAGAGUUGAGAUUAAGCAGUUUUCCAUUGGGGAUGAGCCACUAUCUGUCAGGAGCGUUGAAAGGAGAACUUCUCGUGGUGUUAAUGACUUGCAGUAAGUUCUUCCUAUCUCAAUUCGAAGUAAAGCUUGUUGCUCGUUAUGGGCUUGUGGUUUUAACUUAUUGUAUGAUUGGUUUUUUGUUGCCUUGUAUCUAUGGUGAGAUUGCUUCUUUAUGGUAUCCACUUUUAGGGGUAAAACUGCAUAUAUUCAUUCUUCUCAGAUUCCACAUUUGCAGCCUUAAAAAAGUUUGAUGUUCUGUAACGUUUUUUUUAGCAUCAGUAAACCUUCUAAAUGGAACUUUAUGCUUACUAGCCUUACACUAAUCUGAUUGAUAAGCUAAAUGUUCAGUGUUAAUUUUUUUUUUCUAUUACAUCCUGUAAACGCCUCAUCUUUUGCUUUGGAAAUCACUAAGGAACUGAUGUCUGAAAGAGAUCGAUUGGAUUUAAAAUUUUUGGUUUCUAGCUAGAUUUAUCAGCGACUGAUUUUACAUGGUGAUGGCCACUUUGGUUGGACAUGUUGGGUUACCAUCUUUAUAUUUUAGUUUUAUGAUUUUGAAGUUGCAUGUUCUGAGUCAAAACAAAAAACAAAAAAACAAGGAUUUAAGCUUCAAAGCAACAUAAGAAAGUAACAUAUGGCAUAUAUCAUGGAGUUUCUCUACUCUCUAACCUGUCUUGCCUUUUUUAUGCUUUUCUAGAGUGAGUUAGUCAGGAUCAUAUGUUCUCAUUCAUUGGCUCAUGCUUCUUUUGCCAUGUUCUAAAUUCUGAUAUAUGAACUAGAUUAUGAAACAUAAACUUUUGGAAGGUUCAACUUCCAAUUUGGUUCAUUCCAUAGUCAUAUCAGCAUAGCACAUCAUAGAAUACCAUAUUUCAUUUCAUACAUAUGGAACAAAAUAUUAGCAUCUUUUGAUACAUUUUUUUUAACAUCAGGUAUCAGAUUGGCAUUCGUUACACUGGUGGUGCUCAGAUGUUGCUGUCCCUAUCAUUAAAUUUUGGCAUUAUUCCCAUUGUUGUACCUGUUGGGAUCCGUGAUUUUGAUAUAGAUGGAGAGCUUUGGGUAAAGUUACGGUUAAUACCCACUGGACCAUGGAUAGGGGCUGUGUCAUGGGCUUUUGUGUCUCUUCCAAAAAUUAAGUUUGAGCUCUCACCAUUCAGUCUGUUCAAUCUAAUGGGUAGGUUCUUUAUUCAUAUAUCAUAAACCCUAGGUCUCAACUCUCAAUUUGUGAUCUUCUAUUUUGUUGUGUGUCUUUUUUAUAAAGGAUACACCUCAAUAGUCCAAUUCACAUCAUAAAAGUGUGAAAUGUAAUAUGCAAAGUUUUGGUGGCGUGUUCUUAUCUCAAUGAGCAUUUUAGGCAUCAAGUUGCUUACACCACCUAGUUUUGUACACAUCAGCUAUUUGUCUAUAUAACAACUUAUUUGACUUCUACUGACAUUUACUUAAAUGUCUUGUGCAUGUGACGAUUAAUCUGGAGUCAGCAAUUCCUGUUCUCUCAAUGUAAGGAUAUCCUUCAUUUGUAACUUUUUAAAAUUUUCAAUUCUGUCCACUGUUUAUUUGCUGUUUCUUUCUUUUCUGAUUCUAAGUCUUCUUAUUGUACGUGUUGAUGUACUUGUCAACAUGAUUCGACAAUCCACAUCAUUGUCCUGUUUUGCUGAAACUUUGCCUGUGUAAAGUUGGCUAAUUGUUUUUUUUCACUUACAGUUUGAGUUGCAUUGCAUUCUCAUUUUAUGCAAACCAAUAUCGUCCACGAUCUACUGCUACGCCAUCUUGUUCUUUUCAGUAUUACUUAGCAAGAGAAUUUUCUUAGACAUCGACUUCACAUCAUUUUUCCAAAUAUAGUGGUCAGAAUUGAUGUCAAGCAGUCAAAAGUUUCAGAUUUAUAGUUCAUCUUAGACUGGAUGAUUUAUGGUAACUAAAUGUACUUGAUACAAGAUUCUAUUUUUCUUCAUAUUGUAUGUUUGUUUUAAUUUUUCUAACAAGCAAAAACUUGUUUAGAUAGUACUUUAUGAAGGUGUAUGACUAAUUUUGUAGCUUUGUGCAUGUUGUUUCUUUUAUAUGUAAAUGUGAUUGGUUUCCAAAUUUAGUAAAUCUUGUAAGAAUGCCUGUUUUUAACCUUUAGAUUAAGUGUCACCAAUACAUAUGCAUAUCAUGGUUUUAUGAAUUUUCCUGAAAUGGAGUCACCACUUCUUUUUAGGUUUCUUACAAGGCUUCUAACAGAAGAUUUGCCUCGACUCUUUGUGCUUCCAAAAAAGAUCGUUCUUGAUUUCCAGAAGGGGAAAGCACUUGGUCCUGUUUCACAUGAUUUUAAAGUUGAAGCAGUGCAGGAGAGAAGUAAAGAUUUUGUUGGAGAACUGUCAGUCACUCUUGUGGAUGCUCGAAAACUUGCUUAUCCCAAAAUUGGUAUCAAUUUUUGCCUUUACAGUUUCUUUAUAUAUGUAUCUUGGCAAUACCUAGGAUACCUUGGCCUUCUAUGAACAUCUCCAUUUGGCUGGAUACUAGAAUUGGAACUUGGUUAAGCUGCAUUGUCUUCUUUGAAGUUGACCUGUUGCUUGUUCCCAAUUCUUGUUGUUGCCCCAUAUUUAUUUGUUUACUUCAAAUAAAGUUUUUGCUGUGCCUUUUAUGCUUACAAUUACUUAUAUCAAUUUGUUUUAAGCCUGAAGAGAUGGUAUGCCUGGGCAGGGAAGACAGAUCCAUAUGUUGUUUUAACUCUUGGUGAUCAAGUAUUUCAGAGUAAGAAAAAUAGCCAGACAACAGUCACUGGACCUCCUGGAGAACCAAUUUGGAACCAAGUGAGAUCUUCUACUGUAGUUUUUGUUUUGCUUGUCACGUGGUCUCUAUCUACUUAUUCAGUAGUAUAUAUUCUGUAAACAGGAUUUUGAUCUGUUUGUUGUAAAUCCUGGAAAGCAGAAGCUGUACAUCCAAGUAAAAGACUCCUUUGGUUUCGCAGAUUUCACAGUUGGCACAGCAGAGGUAGAUUAAUAUUGCUGGUCUAUUUAACUUUCAUGAGUUCUUGUACCCUGACAUGCUAUUUGUACAAUGCACUAGAAAGAUUCUGCUAGUUCAUAAACCUGCUGCUAGAUCUUGAUAGGUGUGGAAGUUGACUUGUGAUUUGUCCUAUAAACUUGGGACCAUUCCCUUCUAAGUCAAAGGGCUAGUUUUAGAAGUUCUGAACGGGUUCUCUUCCUUCUGCUUUAGCAUGCUUAGUAUAUAAUAUGAGCGAGUUGGAUUGAACUUUUAGUUUGUAUGUUCUUGGUUACCUAAUCAGAUCAUGGAGAUUGAAAAUGUCAUGUAAUGAUCUCUUACAUUCUAUAAAUGCUAUAUUUAUUGCUAUAUAUGAUCAAGUAGAUUUUGUUGAUGUAUAAUUUUGUUCAAUAAUUCAUGUGUAGUUAUAAUUUGGUAUGCUAAAUGCCAAAACCAUGGUGAUUGAGCUUCAACAUAAACCUUGUAAAUUUAUGGCCUUGGUCAUUUGUGUGCAAUCUCGUUGUAUAUACAUACAUAUAUAUAAAUAUAUAUAUAUAUAUAUAUAUAUAUAUAUACACACACACACAUAUAUAUAUAUAUAUGUAUAUGUAUAUAACGUUUCCAAAAGAAGAAUGGUGAGACAUGUUGUAAUACCCUAUUUUAGUCCCAGAAGUUGAUAAAGAUUUGAAUUGAUUUAUAAGGGCUGUCAAUGGUUCGAAUUCAAUAAGUUAAUGAGUUAAUUAUUCCAUUGGAUGUUUUGAGAAGAAAGUCACCAUUGGACUAGGCAUCGCAUGCAUUAUUUAAUGGGAGAGAUUGUAACACCCAAUUUAGUCUCACGUCAUGACAUUUGUAGAAAAGGAUUAAUAUUGGGAUAGAAAUCUAUGUGAUUGUAUUGGUAUGCCAAGUGUAGAAAAGGAUUAAUAUUGAGAUAGAAAUCUAUGUGGUUGUAUUGGUAUGCCAAGUUCUUGUACAAACAUUUCUUUCCUGCACUUACAAUGUUUUGUUCACGAAGUCAGUAAAUGAUCUAGUAAUGCAGCAAAAUAUGGAGGUAUUCCCAGGAGUAUAAGAAAUCUUGUAUUUGGUGAUCCGAAGCCAGCAUAGCUUGAGGAUAAUAAAUGACAAAAGAGUAGCAUAUAAAAAGGGUGAUCCAGUGCAUGAGGCUCCUAGCAUUAUGGAGUCUGGUCAAUGUACUUAUCUCAUAGUUUCAAACAUUGGUUUGUUCGGAAGCACAGAAGUAGACAUCCUAUAGUUUUAUUUGUUAUUGUAAUUUAUUUGGAUUAUUCACCCCUGAAAGUGACUUCACUAUGAAGUUCUGCCACCAUGGGACAAAUCAGUAAGACUAGGUUUUGUUUGCUUCCCCUGAAAGUGACUUUUCUAUCGUUUUUAACUAGGUCGAGCUAGAGUCCCUACAAGAUACAGUGCCUGCAGACAGAGUAGUUGCUUUACGUGGUGGAUGGAGUCUAUUCAGAAAUAAAUCAUCUGGAGAAGUAUUACUUCGACUCACAUAUAAAGCUUAUGUUGAGGAUGAAGAAGAUGAUCUGUUGGAAGCAGAGUUUGUGGAUGAUCAUGCACCUGAUGAUAUCUCAGACUAUGACCAACCAAAUGGAACAUUUGAGCAAAGUGGUUAUCCUAGUGGAAAAGAAAGAGAAGCCUUUAUGGAUGUCCUGGCGGCUUUGAUUGUGAGUGAGGAAUUCCAAGGAAUAGUGACAUCUGAAACAGAAAAUUCAGAAGUUACUGGUGAAUCUAGAAAUGUGACAUCCCCAGUAUCAACAACAAUAGGUCUUACUGAUGAGACGUCUACUAUUGAUUCAAACAGAAGUUCCAGUAGUUCUGAUGGUAUGCAACUUCUUUCAUCUUUUUGUCUAGAUAAAUUCUAAUAUUUUUGUUCUUGUCAGUUUCCUGAAUUUGGGAUUUUGCAGAUUUAGAACUAGUAUGGCUUGCUGUGGUAACGGUUACAGUGGUUCUGAUUGCUCGUACCAUGGGUGAUUCAAGCUUGUUCAAUCCAUAGCAUUUGCAGGUAUAUGUGGAUGUCCUUAGUGUAUUUGAAAUAAGCAGCUCUUAGUAAUUUUACAUGAUAUGCUUGCAUAUUUGAUGUCUAAAUUAUCUGUUCAUUUUUUAUGGUUUAUAUAUGAAACAAACGUCUCUAUGAUCAAUCCAAAAGUUGUCUUUAACUCACACAAACUUACACUCUUUUGUGGCACAUAGAACUUUGUACUUGCUGAAAGAGUUUACCAGAAAUAUCUAGUUGGUUGUUGAACUUCUGGUGAUCCUUUCCUAGCUAGGGAAAAAAGAGAACCAAACCAAUUAUUAAAUCUGAUAAAAGGGUGAACCCGGUGCACAUAAGGCUCACGCCAAUGUAGAAUCUGGGUAAGGGUUAAUUGAUAAAAGUAUUUUACCAUGGGCUUAAUAUUUAACAAAGAAUAAGGAGAAUUUUCAGGUCCCAGGUUUCUCUGGUCAUAAUUAUGCGAAUGGAUAAUUAGAACCUGAAGCCUGGACAAAAGCUUAACAGAGAAAAUAAAUUUACCGGCCAUUGUAAAACAUGUUUCCCACAAAAUGAAAAUCCACAUAUUGGAGCUCAAAAAAGUCCCAAUUACAGCUUGUCCCUUGAUGUCUAGUAUGAUUUGCUAAGCAGUUAACAUGGUCAGAUUCAGAACCAGGGAGAUUUUACAGAAGCAUUCAGGCAUUCAGAGAUCCAAACAAUGUUUCCAAACUCCUAAUCCAAGACCAAGAACUUUUUUAGUGUAAGACAUGGGAUGAGAAUACUAUCCCAUAUUAGUGAGGCAUUCAUAUUGGAACUAAAUGAUUCCUGAUCUUCCAACAUCCAUUGUUUUGGAUGGUAGAGUGUCAUUCUCUUUUAGACAGCAGUUUAGGGUCUAAUCUCCAUCUUACACAAGCUGUUACCUGCCUUCAUGAUGGAUGACACCUGUGUCGGUUGUGGGGCCGAAUAGAAUUAAUGAAUCAUGUGCCUAUUUGUGGUCUAUGAUGCCUUGCUUCCCUUGUGACUUAUGCUACAGGAUGCAGUCUCCCUUCUGAAAAAAGAAGAGGGUAGUCGGUUUAGAGAUUCUAAGCCUAGCGAUACAGAAACCAGUCAGAUUGUUGUAUUUCAAAUUCUUCCACCGGUAAGGUACGUAUGUACUUGCAUCUUGUUUCUACCUUUUAUUUUGCAUCCUAUUUCCACCUAUUAUUUAAUAACAAGUUAAACAGUAAUGCUUGUCCAUUUCAAAUUGCACUGGAGUUGUCAGAUUGAUGAUGCCCAUCAUCUGCUUCUCUUUACAAUUUCUUUCCAUCCUCAUAGAUGAACAUGCAAUUUGCUUGAUAUUUUGCACCCUCACCCUCCUGUGUGAUGGUCCAAAUUUUGUUUAAACAUGCAUGAUCUGAUGACAAGCUCUGUUGUUAUCUGCAGGCUCCAUUCUGUACAUGCUCCAGGGCAGAGUGGAAUCAACUAAAUGAUUAUUGUUCAAAAUUCUUCUUCUCAUGUAAAAUUAGCUCACUACAGUAAAAAUGCUUUUGCAACCAUUUCUGGGGUUCAAUUCACAUCUCUAAUUCUCACAUCUUUCCUCCAUUGUCCACUUAACUUAGGAAUGUUCCGUUUAUGUCCGUCCAUUAGGGAUGGUAAUCUCAGUGGGCUGUAUCUACAGGAACAAUGCUCUGUCAAAGACCUCCAAACCGUAUGAAAUCUGAAGGAAAAAUGAAGACCACAAAGACUCUUUGAGGCGGAACUUGGUCUUGAGACAUGGCUUGGUUUCGUGAUGAACAUGCAAGUUGUUGUCCUAUAUGCUACUAAGCAGGGGGAAGUCGUUGACCCAAUGUACAGUUGCAGCCGUUGGUAUUGGUGGGUUAGAGAUGCUUCAGUGGGAUUUGUGUAAAAGCUACAAUACUUCCCUGCUUUUGUUUUUGUUAAUAUCAGUACGAAUCAUAUUGUUGGCUAUCAUCACUUAAACAAGUUGGCUAUUAUGUUGUUGUGAAUCUUCAUGCACUGGUGUAACGCCCUCAGUACUAUAGAUUUUCAUAUAAAAAAUAUAAGGUCAAAACUAGAACAAAAUACUUUUUAUAGUAUAAUUAUUGUAUAGAUUAAUUCAUAAUAAUCAACCCACAAGACAUUAAUAACGUGAUUCGAUCCAUCCAUAUGAUAUUCAUUAAAUUCAACAACUUCUUAAGAGUCAUAAUAUUUCUAUCCAAAUAAUAUAUAUAUACACAGUCAUCUCAAUGCAUAGUGAUCUUAAUAGAAUAAUUAUAUAAUUCAAUCAUUAAUAGAUUCUAUCAUGCUUUUACUAUGCAUUCUAAAAAAAUUUAUCAGCUUUUCAAACUCGAUUUGAUAUUCUUAAUCUAAGAAAUCUAUCUUUCAUUUGCUUUUGAACACUCCUAGAAAAAUACUUUCGAAAUAUAUAUAUAAAUAUCAACUAGUUAGUUCAUGCUUAUAAAAUUUACAAAACAUAGUUUCAUAUCCAUUUCAAAUCACAACUUAACUUGCUAAUAAUACCUUUUAGAUGUAAAAUAUAUUUAAAUACCUUUAUGCUGAAAUCAUAAACAUUAUAGUCCAAAGAUUAUCAUUAAUUUUUUAUUAAUAAAUAUAAAAUAUAGCUAAGGUGAACAUGUUUGAAUACAAGUCAGUGGUAUGUAUUAAUGGCUCGUUAUAUCAUCUCAAUGACAAGGUCCAGAAUCAUUCUUAAUUCCUAUGGUAUAGAUAAUAUAUAUAUCUUCUUAUGUCAAGAACAAAUUAGUUUCUAAACAAAUACCUAUCCCUUAUUGGUAAAGUCUUGAUCAUAACCAACGAAGCAAGUGUCAUGUCACCUAAAAUAUGUUAGAAUCUCGGAUUUUGUUGGUGAAAUCAAUUGAUAGGUUAAUUGAUUUAAUCAAUAUUAUUGAAGUUAAGUGUACAGGAUUAACUAUGAUAGCCUGAAAACAUAAAGCAAGGAUACCAGAGUCAAGUUCGAUGGACGUUUGAGAGUCCGAAGAUGCUGCCGGAACCAACCAAGAAGAAAUCGGAGACUUGUCGAAACUUUCGGAAGUCUGCCGAAGAGAUCGUCAGAGGUUCGCGGAGAUCACCGAGAAGGCUCGGCUACUCGUUGAAUUCGUCACAAGAUCGGGAGCCUCCUGGGAGUCCGCCGGAAGAAAUCCGAGGGCGUAUUGGAAGUCCGCCUGAAGAUCGCCGGAAAGCUCGUCGGAACAAGACUCGACAUUUGCCGGUUAAAAACUUGCUUAGGAUUAUGCUUUUAGUUACGUAGUAUGUAAUUAGGGUUAGGAUUAAAGGAUAAUCCUAUAUCUUAGUUAGGGGCCAAUUGGGCCCGAAUGUGAUCUGGUUUGGGCCGAACUUGAAGCCCAACCAGUGAUCCGUAAGGACGGGCGGUAGAACCGUCGGAUUGGGCGGUGGCACCGCCCAGCACUCGAGAUCAAGCGGUGGCACAGUCACCGCCUUCGGGCUCUGGGCGGUGCCACCACCCAGCACCCGAGAUCAGGCGGUGGCACAGUCACCGCCUUCAGGCUCUGGGCGGUGCCACCGCCUAGCACCCGAGAUUAGGCGGUGGCACAGCCACCGACAGGCAGUGACACCGCCAGUACACUGUCAGUGUCAGACACUGAUAGGCGGUGGCACCGCCAGCCUUGGAAACCCAAGAUAAUUCAAAAUUUGGAGCCCAAAUUUAAAUCCUUUUGUGACCUAUAAAUACCCCUCAAUUCUCAGCAGAGAAAACAACUUUUGCAAAACAAUAGAUUGAGAUAAGAGCCUUAGCAAAGUUUUAGCAAGUCAUGUUUUCAAAUUGCUUGAGUGUUCACCUCCUUUCUUCUUGUUGAAAAAAUUAUAAGAGUGUGAACCACUUGUAAAGGUUGUAAGAGGGGUAUUAGUCCUUUCCCUUCAAAGUAAUUUGCUAGUGGAAGUUUUGAGCCUCAUUGAAGAAGGCUUCGUAAGUGGAUGUAGGUCAUUUGACCGAACCACUUUAAAUUGACGUGUUCAUUGAAUCUGUAAGUACUUACCUUUUUACAAUCGUUAUCUACAUAGCAGUGAGUUUCCGGUUCUUACUUUACUCAAGUUACUAUCAAAGCUAAAUCUCUCUGUAUUUUACGGAAUCAUUUUCGAACUUACAAGUUUUAAUCCACUGCACUAAUUCACCCUCCCCUCUUAGUGUCAUUCCGAUCCUAACAAAAUAAUAUAUCAAUUACUUUUUACAAAACUGAAGGUAUAAAGAAAUCCUUUUUGCAUGCCUUUUCAAAACAAAUAUAAUCAUAUAUUAUUUUUUCUAAUUCUUUCAAAUAUAAUAAAUAUUAAACAAAAAUGUUUAUAUAAAUUUUGAUAGGAUAACUUAAAAAUACUUAUAAAACAAUAACAAUAGUUCAAAUCAUAUGUUUUUUCAAACUAUCAAUAUUUACAUUUUUAUAAUAUUUUUUAAUAAUAAAUUAAUUUCUAAAUUAUGUAAAUCAUAUGUAUUUACAAAUAUCAAACGCAUUAUUAGUAUUUCUGAAAAUAGAUUAGACGGAGUCAUACUUACCCUGAUUGUAUAUCUUUGAUAUAACAUAUUUUGUUCUUUUUUCUUUAUUCUUUCAAUAUCAUCAUUUUUCUCUUUUUUUUUCUUUUAUAUACUAUAUCUAAAAUCAUUACGAUACAUCAAUUAAUAAUCCAAAACAUAAAUCUAAUUAAUGUGAAUAUAAAAAAUUUUAAAUCAUACAUAAUAUAAUUUUUGAACUUAUCAAAAUCAAUUUGAUAUCAAAACCAAACAACCUACAUAAUUUUUCUUUUAUUUUCUUCGUUUUCUCUUUCUUUCUUUCUUUUUUUCAUUCAUGAAGCCCUCUCCUCUCCUCUCCUCUCGUUUCUUUUCUUUUUUCUCUUUCCUUUAUUCCUUUCUCUCCUUCCUGGAGAUCACUCUCUCUCUCCUCUCCCUUUUCCGUCUUUUUCUCUCCUUCUCUUCCUUUUCCUCCUCCCAUCUUCUUUUACCUCUCUCUCUCUCUCUCUCUCUCUCUCUCUCUCUCUCUUUCUUAUUUUCAUUAUCGAAGUCAAAAUGAUUUGAUACAGCAACAAUAAUGAUCUGAAAUGUAAACAGUUACAAGUUUUACAUUCAUGAAUAGCUCCGGAAUAAAUAAAAAAGUUGAUUAUAAUUACUAAUUCAUACAAAAAAUAUUUAUGGGAGGAUUAGGUCACAUCAACAUUAGUUGAAACCAGCAUUUCCAAAAAUAUUUUGAGAACGUUGCGGCAAGGAAUAUUUCGCUUGUAAUAUAGAAUACUUUUCAUGGUUAAUUCACUAUAAAAAUGAUAUAUUUUGGGCAUGAUAAAUAAUUAUUAUUCAUUAAAAUUACUUUACUCUGAUUGGUUAUUGACUUCAGCAUGCAUCCGAGGGAUCACAUCGCAUAACUCAUUCAAUCUUGAUCUUUAUGCAAGUAAGUUGAUCGUGGAGCACUCACCUGAGUCCACAUCUGACUCACUCUCGAGCGAGCAUUCGAGUCACCCCAUCAAUCAUGCUAGACUUUUUAUGUAUACAAAUUGAAAUCAAAUAGAGCUGAUCCAAGUAUCAUUGAUAUUGUCCAUAUUACUAAUAUAGCUCGAAGCAUAGUUUACUAUUAUAUGUGAUUUAUUUUUUAAAUAUAUCUAAUUAUGUAUUAUUUUAUUUUUUUAUAUGCUUUUAUCAUAUAAGUUAUAUAUAUUUUUGUAUCUGUGGUUUGUCUAUGGCAUAUUAUAAAGAUUAUGUUAUAAGAUUUUAUUUUUGAUUUUUUUUUCGAAUAUAUAGAUGUACAUUUCAGUCAAAUGUUGACUCCAAAUAAGCUCACAUUGUUGCACAUAAAACUCAUGUCAUGCUUAUUUUGCCGGCGGUUCAGACGUGCGUCCAAUCCAAACCAGUCCUCAAUGAAACUUGGCAGCCCAAUCAUUGUUCGGCACGCGAUGCCUGGAUGACACGUGUCUCAUCGUCCACGUGUCUCAAAGCGGCCCCUCGUGCUUGCGCACACCCGCUUAUCACAGCCGUCGGAUCUGCGAGUAACCAAUCUCGACCGCCCGAUUUGUCAGCUCAGCCGGGUCCUGCGCCCAUCUGUUUUCCUUUCCUAUAAUUACUACCACCUUCUCCUUCUCUUCCACUCCGAGAUGGUUUGUAGAGUCUAUCAGGAGAGAAGUAUUUCGCAGAAGAAAGAUAGAAGAGAGAGAGAGAGAGAGAGAGAGAGAGAGAAGAANNNNNNNNNNNNNNNNNNNNAGAGAGAGAGAGAGAGAGAGAGAGAGAGAGAAUAAAAGAGAAAUCGAAAAAAAAAUUAUUAGUUGAAGGCUUACCAUAACAGAGAGAGAAAGAAAAAAUAUAUGGUGAGCCUUCAACUAAUAUAUAUUUUUUCGAUUUCUCUUUUAAUCUCACUAAUAAUUUUUUUUCGAUUUCACUUUAAAUUUUUAUGGUAAGUCUUCAACUAAAAAAAAUUUAUCUCACUCUCGUAUUUGACAUCCGCGUUUCAUCUUUCGAUUAUAAUAUAUGGUGUGAUGGAGGAGCAAUCUAUUUUUAUAGACCUAAACCACAAAAUUAUAACUAAGCUCUUAUUUCAACUCAAAAUUUUAAUUUAAUUUUAAUUAAAUUUAAAUUAUAAUAUUUAACAUUUUUUAUUUAAUUUUUUUAAAACUAAAGGUAAUCUUCACAUGGAUAGUUUUCAAAGAUUUUAUAAAAAAUACUGUAACUUAAUCUUCACUUUUAUAAUAUUUCAUUUCGAUCAUUUUGUUCUUCACUUGAUGUCUUACUUACUCAUGGCUCUCAGACAAAGUUGAUAAUUAAAAUAUUCAUAAAAAUUAAGAUUUGAAAAGAAAAAAGAUUUAAAAAACUCUAUUACUCGGAAGUCUUAUAGACUUUAACAGCACCUCACCCUCUCUCUUAGCUUGGUGUGUGAUGAAUAGGGCACAAUCUUCUAUUUAUAGACCUAAACCACAGUCAUAACCCUAUUGAAAUAAACACUCAUCCUUCGAUUCUAACUUCUAACUUAAUUCCAAUCAAAUGUAAAUUAUAAUCUCUUUAGGCAUUAAUUUUAUGUUUUAUUUUCAUUUGUCUUUCAAAUCGUCUGUCUCUCUUCUUUCACUGAUGGGGUUAUGAUAGGUUGUUCCGUUUCUUAUUUAAUUUUAUAUUUUAAUCUAUGAUAUAAUCGAUUAUUUGACUCGAUAAUAUUUUGAUCUUUCAAUUUAUGGACUUUAUAAUUAGGAUUGAGAUGGAUUGUGUUGCUUAAUUAGACUAAUGUUGACAAGAGGGUUUAUUGUAGGAUAUCAUGUCGACAAAGGUUGAUCAAUUCUUUUUAUUUUUUGAGUUUUGAAUAAUAUUUUAUUAAGUUUAUCUAAUUCAAUAAGAAUCGGAUAAAGAUUUAUUUGAGAUUUAUUUAUUUAUUAGGAGUCCAAGUCUUAAUGGACUCAAGGGUGGAACUCUAUAAAUAUGGAUCUCGAUCCUAUCAAAGUGAUAUCUUUUUUCUUUCUUCUAUUCUAUGAUAAAAUCCUAGAAUCUUAUCAUGUCGCUAAUAGACGAUGCGGCCUUACGAUUUAUCAUGCCUUAUUGAUCCCUACAGUUUUGUUUGAAAAUGAUAUCGUAGCUAUAGCCCAUUGCGAAUCACUCAGUAAUCCUUUCUCUUUACGCUUAUUUAAUAAUAUAUGAUUUGGGAAGGAUGGAUGGAUGGAUGGUGCAUCGAGUUUCGUGCUUAUGAUUGAUCCAGUUAAUUAAGGUCGUCUCAUUCAUUCUCGUCUUUUAUGUUUUCAUUGUUAUCUCGAGAACAAGUUCUAUGACAAAGCUUAUAAUUAAAAGAGAUGUGAAGUUCUAACAUUAUACCAUGAAGCUCUUGGAAAUCGUACAUCUUUUUUGUUGAAUUCCAUUCGGAUGGUAUGAUCGACAGAAGGGAAAUUGCCGGAAAAGUUACUCGAGAACAUGCCGCGGAUUAGGGCUCAAAAGCCGUCCCAAUUUCGUGCUUACUUCCUGCCAUGUUCUUGACAGGAAGAUGGGUUAAAUGAUUUAUAUCGUCCUUCCGCCUUCUUCGGGUCAGCCAAAGCUUACACAGCCAGCCGGCCUGCCGGAGAAGGUGGAGAGGACUACUUGGUAAGCAAUCCCCAAGACGCGAUCCGCGCCGUCCAUCACGGGAUCGAUGGCCCAGAUUUACGUUAAACAGCCGCGAUUUCGUCGCCGCAUACGUCUAUUUAAACCGGGGAAUUCCCGAACAUCCAUGCGAACUUCGUCUUCCAUUAGUUCCAUGCGUACAUCGGAGGAAACGUUGCGGGAUUCUGGACGUGCUUUCCACAGGCUUUCUUGAACCGUGAACUCGUGCAGGCUUCACUGGUCUCCCUCCUCUUCUCAGUCUUCGGUGCAAGCCCGAGGAAGAAGGUUGUUGAUGGUUCAAGAAAGUCUUUGGAAAACACGACAGAUCUUACAGACGAUCGUUUCGGUGGCUUUUUCGAGCGGUCUAUAUUCGUUGGAAGAUCAAGUCUGCAUGCAACAAUCUCUUCAGGCUCUCGUGAUCCUGCGAAGUAGAACUGCUCUUUUCCGCACCUUCAAAUUGGAUGAAAAGCUGUGGAAGAAACGAGUGGGAGUUGUUGAUGGAUCGAUGUGCCGUGGUUGAUAAAGUCAGCAUGGCCUAGUCCACUGGGUAAUGUCAGGAGUUUUUGGUCGGUUGAGUCGGGUUUCGAGACUGAUCGAACACCACUUUGAGUGUUGGCAGUGGGGAUUUGGUCAGUGCCUUCUAGCCUGCGAUGAUAGCUUUCCUGUAAAAAAGAUCGUCGUCGGAUGUUUCCCGAUUUUGAUCCCUCCGACGAUCAAGUCAGUGGUGAGUUGGAGUUUUUUUACUCUCCCUGGCCGGGUCCUUUUAUGUACGCAGGCGUAGCAGUCGAUCCUCAGGAGGUGAGGUGGCACCUUCGUGCGGUUGUCGCUCCGGGACGCACGGAACUCUUUCCGGGACGGGACGUGUCGAUCCACGCCUUGAUACGGUCCCUGGCUUGAUGCGUAGGGGUGCCCCUCUUGCUUACUUGGUUACAAUGCUAUGUGGCAUUGCUCGUGAUGCUGGACCAAAAAUAUACCUUAUCAAGAGUAUCAAACAUGAAAGAUCUUGGCGGCUUUGUUGGGUAGUUUAUGCAUUGUAGGAGUUCUUAUUGGAAAAAGGGGUUACAUAGCAAGAUUCUGGACAUGCUUUCUUGAAUUGUUGACAUUUCAAUCUCUUUCUUGCUCUGGUCAAGAACCAUAAAACAUCUAUUUGUCCUACCUUUUCAUUUCAUCAGAUUCAAGUGAUGCCUGAACUGUUGAUUAGGCUUCAUGGAAGCAAUCAGUAGAGCUUAAGAAGCAGCCUCAAUGUAACUCCAAAUAAGAUGGUAGAAAAUGUUAUUUAGCUACAUGGAGAUGACUCCAGCACUGUAUAUUGUAGUAUAUAUAUGAGAAGCAUGUUCUAUACAAUAACAGAGCACAACUAAAAUUUGGAGGAUUCUUAUCCUUUGCCUCCUAUAGAUCACCAUCUUCUGUUUAAUCUCGUCUGCAAUUGUUCUUUAUUGUCAGAUACUCUGCUAUUUACUGGAUCAAAUCUGCUACGGAGACAGGGAUUCGAUGAAUGAAUCCACCUUCAGGUUGAUGCUCCUCGACAAAAACUUCAUGCAUAUGGGUGGCUUCACUUUAGCAAGAGCAAGAAAAGACUGCGGAAGAGACCAUAUUCCGUCACCGCAGAUCAAACCCGAAGCCACGGCUGGCGCGAAUGCGUCUGCCUUGGCCUUGUUGAUCCUUUCCCAGACGAACAAGAUCAAGCUGCCCACGCACAUAUCUAUGGCGAAGUAAGAUCCCAAGUAGAACGGUAUCGCCAUGGCCAUGGGGAGCGGUAUCCACCUGCCCACCUUCUUCCCGGUCACGUCCCUCAGCAGGUUGAUGAGAAUAGCAGCAGCAAAGAAGACAUAACAGAGGGUGAGGCAGUUCUUCGGCAACGAUGAGAAGCCUUCCACCCCAAGUAUGGCCAUGUUACGAUAAACAAGGGCAUUAGGUGCUGGGUACUCCGAUCCGGGGAUGCCGAUGUCGUCGAACGCCUUCAGGAACAACCAGAAGACGGAUGGGGCGAUGACGCAGCCCAUGGCAGUGCCGAUUACUUGGCUGAUGAACAUGGACCUCGGUGAGGCCAGAGUCAGAUACCCUGUCUUAAAGUCCUGCAUCAGGUCCGAGGCCGUGGAGACGAUGUUCAUCAUGACGCCACAAGCAGCGAGGCCGGCAAGAACGCCGCCGUGGGCGGCGCCAGCCCACCCGCCGAUGGCGAAGAUUGCAAGCUUCCCAUAGGUCGACGCAAGGGACCAGUCGGUGAGGCCAGCGCCGUAGGCGUUGCAGAACGCCAGCGCCGGUGCGAACACGUAGACCACCAACACAUAGUACCACCGCAGCUGGGGAAAGAUGCGGGGCAGCGUUGCGGUCGAGACAGCAGCGAGGAGGAGAUAGCCUCCGUAGGCGAUUGGUUUUGGGAUUUGGUCUUGAAGGAAGAGCUCGGUGCGGCGCUUGUCGUCGAAGGAGACGGCCGAUGUGUCAAUGGCGAAGGUGUGCGUUCUUGCAGAUCUUCUGCUUCUGAUCUGUGACGCGAAGGCGGCUGUGCUCUUGCCCAUGACCUUGACGAAGUUGUAGAGGCCAUCUCCAAGGAUCAAGGCGAUUGCUAUGAACACCUGCAACAUGCUUAUGCUUACUCAAAAAGAUCAAAGUCGAUCAAUGAGCGGGGAAGAUGCUUAUUACCCUGUAACCUUGGAGCCCAUCAAGACUGCCCAACGCGUCUGCCGGGUACCAAUCGCCUUUCUUGUUGCCUAUCAGAGGCCACAUGAUUCCCCAUGAGAGAAUGCCUCCCAAGAGCACAGAUAUGUUCACGAUGUAUGGGCAAAUCAUCCCGACCCCAACGUAAGUAGCCGAAAAAUCAAAGUAGAACCUGCAAUCCUUUACGUAUCAGAUAAAUGUCAUACAAGUUUUGAAGGUUUUGAGAUGCAUACAUGUUGUCGUAAGCCUUGAGGCCUAACGAAGGGAAGUUGAUGAAGCCACAGUCCUUUCCACCUGUGUAAAACCACUGGAAGAAACCCCAAAGGAAACUGCAUACCGAGAGCUUGCCCAGCGUUCUCACCUGCUUCCUGCAAGAAACAUUAACGAGUUCCCUGACCGAGUCAGUCGCCGGAGAAAACAAGGGCAACCGUUCAUGGUUGUUUCGAGUUACUUCGCUAGGUUGGCUCCCUGAGGGGUGUGGAAGCUGUUGAUUAGGUUCGCCGUCGCGGUGCCACUCGGAUAGGUCAGCUUGUAGUCGAUGAUCAUUAUCUGAACACAUCAAUUUAGCAUGCAAUUUUACUGUGGAGAUCAGAUGAGACUGCAUCGAAGCAGACAACUGACCUUUCUCAAGGGCACGAGGGAGAACAAUCCCAGGAAACUAACAACAAAGAGGAAGCCGAUCAUCCAUCCUAGUCUUGGAUUCUUUAUGUUCUGUGAAUCGUUGGCUACUGUGGAUUGCUUGGCGAUGGUUUCACUCAUGGCAAAGAGGUAACUUCCGAAGCCCCCUGCAUCGCGUAGAAUAAGCAGCAAGGAAGAUACGAGGGGGAGGUGAUGGUGGCGGUGUUACCGCUGUAGGCGAUGCCGGAGGCGGCGACGACGCAUGUCUGGAUGACGGUGUUCUCCUGGCGGGUGAAGGGGCGGCGGAGGAGGCCAGCCCUCCCGAGCGCUGCCGUCCACGUCCGGACGAAGAAGAAGCCGAGCAGGCCGGCGGAGACGUUGAGGGAGGGGACGAUGCCGGUGGUGAGCACGAACUUCAUCACGAUCACGUUGAACACCACCGCGAGCACGAGGCUCACCGCGAAGGCCCUCGCCGUCAGCUGCUCCCGCCACGUCGGAACCCGCUUCCCGUCGAACUCCCUCUCUAUCGACGCCGCCGCCACCAAUUCUCUCUCUUCCUCCUCCAAAUCGUCCUCUUUCCUCCUCCUCCUGGCUCCGGCCUCGCCGUUCUCUGCCUCUGCGGCCGUGUCCUCCUCCAUCGCUUUCGCCUCCUGCUGUUCUGCUGCCAUCUCCUCCUCUAGCUGAUUUCUAUGGUCGAGGAUUGGGAUCGACAAGCGGCAGCAUUAAUAGAUUGCGCUUAGAUUCAACCUUUUGACACCGAAAUCUUUCUCUCCUUCGAUUUGGCUUCAGGGGAAUCGUUGGAAUCUGGGUGGAGUUUCCGAAUCAUCCAAAUCGAAUCAAACCAAAGGAAUCAUUCGAAAGCUCAGCCAAAAUAAUCAAAUCGAUUAUUUUAGUGCUUACCAAGAAAGCACAAAAACUUCACCCAACAUCUCACCUACCUAAAUGUACAGAGGAAGAGUCUCGGUUUUGCCGUCCGUAUCGGCUUUCCCUCUCUCCCAACUAAAUCAUUUGUCUUGUGACGCUGACAAAAACCAUCUAUCUGCAUUCGCUGCUGCAAUCUCGCUACUCCAUGCAAGCUGUUCUUUUAUAGUGGUCGAGACUGCUUUGUGUACUUUAGAUUAACACGAUACUUCGAAAUCGAAUCGGAUCCGAGACCGUUCCACUUCUCUUUUUUAUAUGUCGUUUUAUAAUUUUUAUUUUUAAUAGAAUAAUUUAAAUUAGUAUAAAAAUUUAUAAUUUGAUUUUAAGAUUUCGAUCAAAGUUUCAUUUUGAAAAGUUGAUGUAUUUCCAUAGAUAUAAUAAUAACAUGCAAGCGAAUGAAUUGGUGUGAAAAAGAAUAAGAAUUUUAGGAGAUAUUUUGGGAUUUUUUUUCCUUUCCAAAAUGCCUCUAAACUAACUGUUACUUGGUUAUUGAAAAAAGCGAACGCCGCCAACAGUCGCCCUCACACCGCUCAGCGACCUGAAGCGCACCGCCCCCAUCUACGGCGACUGCCCCUCCGUCGUCUACAACCUGGUCCCUGACCCACCGCCGCUGCCUCCGUCCUCUCCUCCCUCGGCAUCUCCCGCGCCGACGUGGUACUCUUUCGCCCGAACCUUGCGUGUCCCAAUUUCUUCCUUUACAUUUCCCCUAAAAAUUCAUACAUCUUAUCUUCUUCACGCUUUUUUACUUUUACAAUCUGAUCUUGAUGGGCAUUUUCUGGUGUAAAAAUCCCAUCUUUUUAGGUGACGGUGCUCGCCCCCCAACACUCCGGCCAUGUACGACAUGCACUUCGUCGUGCCGAUGAGCGGCGCCGUUCUCAACACAAUGAACACCUGCCUCGAUGCCCGUACUGUCUCCGUCCUCCUCCACCAUAGCGGCUUCAAGCUCGUCUUCGUCGACGUCAUCUCUCGCCCCCUCCUCGACGGCACCCUCCGCCUCUUUCCCGAUUCCCUCGAACCGCUCCGAGUUAUCCUCAUCGAGGACCUCGACGAGGCCCCGCCUGCCCAAAACUCCACCCUCACAUGUGAGAAGCUCAUCGAAACUGGGGCCCCAGAAUUCCGGUGGGUCCGCCCCCUGACUGAGUGGGACCCAGUGUUCCUUAACCAUGCUCCAGAACCACGUCCGCUCCACUGCCACCGCGGCCUCUUCUCAACUCCAUCAGCUCCCUCGUCUAUUGGUCCGUCCCGAAGCGGCCCAUCUACCUGUGGACCCCUUCUCGUGUUCCACUCCGACGGGUGGAGCAUCGCCGUCGCAAGCAAUUUUGAUUUAUUCUUAAUCUUGGAUGACCUUUAUUUGCUCAUUGCUGUGCUUCCACCCAUAUAAUAAACAAACUUUAAAAGAAAUGAGAAAUUAUUGGCAAAAUAUGCUUUAUUUUCUUCUGAAUUUUAGAAGGUAAGACAGAGAAGAGCUAAAACAAAACCAAAUUUACUCCCAAUCAAGUAGCUCUCGCAGAUACCUAAACAGUAUCAAAACACUGUCAAAUCCUUGUGUCUUACGGAGUUCAACAUUUGCACCAAUCACAGAGUCUCAGCGAUAGGCAACAACUGAGACUGCAGCUUGAGGUCCACCUUGAAUGUAGACAAAGACGAACCCUGCGCCAGGCUCCAACACCUGCAACCAUGGUGGAAGCUCGUACAUCUUCUUCUCCUGCGUCUGCGAGAGGCCCCAGAGAGUCCCUGUGAGGUUCUCGAUCUUCAACUUGAGGUACGUGAUCCGCUCGCCGCAUGUGUUCUUGACGGCCACCUGGUGCCGGUAGUAGUCCUCUCCUUGGUACUUCCAUGUAUUGGUUAUGGUGUGCACGAACUCAACGGCUGCUUCUGCAAACAAGAAUCGACUUGAGAGCUUGAACAAGUCAUGGAGUGCUCAAUCACAUCCCUUGAGCAGCAACACUACUCACCAUUUGGCUUUGGAUUUGGCCCUGCUGAUUUUUGUUUAGAACCUGCAAUUGUAUCAUAGCGCACACAUUUAGUUACCAUUCUGAAUUACCCAUUCAGCAUUUCAACCUGUCAUCGAGACAUCUCCCUUUACCUGGAGAUGAAUCUGGUGUUGAGUACUUGGGAGAAUGACCUGCAAAGCUCACAUCCUUGAGUUCUCUUUCUCGGGCUCUAGUUUAUAGCGACGAGAUCAGUCAUGCAAUGGAUUACCUUUGUCACCUUCUAAGCCGUCCAACGCCGCAAAUAGGCCGACCAGGGGAGCGUUUCCGGCGAUGGAAGGCUCGGUCUGCUCGUAUUUGCACCGGUCAUCGUAGAAUUCAUCUUUCAGAUCAGGGCCUCCGACCAGAGCUCCUUCGAUGACGUUGGGGUUGCUGUCCUUGUUGACGUACCAGUAAUCGAACCCGUCGAUGCAUCCCACAGCAGAAGGCAGCACGAAUAUUGAUGGAACCGAAGCUCCCCUGUGGUGCACAUGAGUGGGAUAGUUCCAUCCGUAGCCAACCAAGUAGCUCAUGGACUUUGGAUUCUUCCCCAGAAUGUAGUCGGCCUGAUGAAUUGCAGCAAUGCAGAAGUUGUCUUUUAUGAGGACUUCUCGUGCUAAGGAAGCAAAACUUUCUGCUACUAAUUCGGAAUACUACUAAGCCAGAGAUAUACUAUGAAGUAGAAUACCUGAGACUCUGCAAAUUUUAGUAGCAUCUCAGGACUGAUUUGGCCAUCAGGGCAGACGAGGUUAGCAUUUGCCAUUCUCAAAUAAUUGGAGUAGACUGCCGACAGAAACGCUGCCGAGGAAACAUAUUGCAGGUUUUGCCAGUCAUGGAAGUACAAUAAACCCCCUGUUCACGACAUCAUAAUCAUGCAGCUUAAUAUGAUACAAUGACGUGAAAGGAUGCUGGCUAUGUUAGAAAUGGAAGUAGAUGAGCAUGUCAAGAAACAAUCUCGUUGUCGAUGGAAAACCUGGAGUCAUUUCGACGUUGUCGCCGUUGUUCUUCUGGAGGCACGCGCAUAGGAAGAACUCAGCCUUUGCCUUGUAUUGAUUGAGUGUGGCAUUGCAGGUUUCACCACCACCCCUGACCAACACCUGCAAGAACAGAGGUUCUCGUACAGACGUCGCAUGUGAAGCCAUGAUUUCCUGAUAAAUCUGUGUUGUGUACCUUUGACAGAAGGACCUGCAAACCAGCAUACUUGUUGUCCCAUGAGAAUUCAGUAACAGCCCAUCCAGUUCCUCCGAGGACGACAGCAUUCUGAGCUACAUAGUUCAGGUAGGACUUGUCAUCCGUUGCUUCAAAAAGCCAAGCAGCAGCCCACAGCAACUCAUCCUACACCAUUAACAAGUGCAUCAAAGCUUCGGCCAUCGACACGGUCGCACUCUAACAAGGAAUUCGAUCACAUCAAACGGCAGAUGACAUAGUGGGGAAAGAAGUGAAAUCGUUCUUACGGAGUAACCGGUGGAAGAAGGAUAGUACUUGCGAACAGAGUGAACCGAAUCGUCGUAUCGACCACGGUACGUGUCAGCGAAGGAAAACAGCUGCAGCAACAUCAGAUAUUGAUCACUCAAGCUCAUAGUAAGAGAUGGUGGUUAUUACCAUUGAUGAUAUCUUACCUGCCGUGCAUGCAAGAGGAGGAGAUCGGAGUACUUGGAAUCGUAUGGUCUGAAAACUAUGGAAGCUGCAGCCAUCGCAGCAGCAGUCUCGGCUGCCACUUCAGAGCCUGGGUGCUCGCAGUCGACCUUGUAUGCGGUCCUCGGCGUCGUCAUGUCCUCCGCCCUCUCCCAGCAGAUAUGGUCGGAAUCUCCAUCGCCGACCUUUUCAAGGCUCACCACAGGUUAUCGAAGUAAGAAGAAUGCUUUCCAAGCUUUCAUGUUGGUUGCAGAGUCAUUACCUGCACCCAGAGGAGAUCGGGUUGUCUGUGUGCUUUGACGAAGUAAUCGGUUCCCCAGCGAAUGGCAUCGAGAGCGAACUCUAAUUGCCCCGCGUCGACUAUCUCUUUCUCGAACUCGAUCACGCUCCAUGACAGCAUCGUGACAGCGUAUGCCAUCGGCAAUCCAAAUUUCACAUGAUCACCGGCGUCAUAGUAGCCUCCUACCAAGUCCACCUGACAAGGAAGGAACCUCGAUUAGGUUGAUCGAAGCAACCAUGAUGGAAUGCAACGAUGAACUAAGAGACUGACCCCUUGGCUGAAGCCAUCCUUCAAAGCAGAAUCACCUCGCCAUUUCACCCUCUGAUCCGCCGGCAACUUGCCCGACCUCUGCGCCUCGAAGAACAGCAGACUCUUGGUCAAAGCUUCCCUGUAGCUGAAUCCAUCUUCUGCGGCAGAGCUCAGCGAACACCCAAGCAGCAACGCUGCCAAGGCGAACGACAUUAUCGGCCUCGCCAUUGUGCGCUUCGGUGGGGAACACAAUCGAACACAAAUGUUGCCGAAACCUGUUUUGGUUCGAGUCUUAUAUAAGAGACUUCAAGGAAGAAAGAAGGUAGGAUGCAUGUCGGAGAAUAUGUGUGGCACGUCCACAUAGCGGAUGUUACAGCCAUCCACGUAUGGAAGCUGCUUGUCAAACGCAGAUAUUUUAAGCGCAUGAAGUGCCACAGAGGAGGCAUUGGUUGGGACACUUAGAGAUUUCAUUCUAAAACGUAAUCUCAAAAUUUUGUUUUUAUUAAUUUAUUUGUUUUUCUGUUAAUAUUCCUAUAUUUAUAUGACGUUCUAAUUGGAGUCGUUGUUUAUGAUUACACAUAUUAAUUAUUACCACUAACAUCUGUUUGGUUUUACACUGAAAAAAAUCUUGUUUUUCUUAUUUCUAAGAGUCUCUUUUCUGAGAAAAUCAAUUUUAAGAUUUUUUUCACAAAAUCUAUUUUCAUUUUUGUGUUUGCUUGUGAUAUUCGAUCAAGAGAAUGAAUCCAACUAUAAACCUACACAAAAGAUUGGUAAAAUUAUUCGGAAUGAUUUCUAAAUCUUAUUAUUUUAUUCUUAUCAAUCAAAUUAAAUUAAAUUUUAUUAUUGAGCUUUUACCCCAUGAAAAUAUCAUGACACUUGAAAUUGGUAGUAAAACUACCCUAUCCAAUAUCAUAAGUUUUAUGUUAUAUUUUUUUAAAUUAUGGGGACUUUAAUUCAUAUUAAUGUUAUUUAAUAUCUUUUGAAAUAAUUAUAAAAAAGGGUUAAUGAUAAAUUUGUAUCUGCAACAUCAUGUGCAAAUUAUUAAUUUCUUCAUGCUAAAUUUUAUUAGAAAUAUGAAGCUUUACAUCUCUUACUUAUAAAUAUGAAUUUAUUUAUAUUUUUAUUGGCAUAAUUAUUACCAACAUUUAACUAUACAUCAUGUAUGAAAUAAAUUACAUGUUUAUUCAUAUCAUCAUGAUUUUAAUAUUAAAAAUAAUAUAACUAUAUAAUAUGUCAUGAUAGUCUUAGUAUAGAUAAAAAGAUUAUUAUCCUAAUAUCAUCCAUGAGGGAGAUAUGUUAGGUUAUAAUAGGUCUUUUGAUCAAUGAGAACUUAAUCUUUGUAAUAAGUGAUCCAAAAAAGGUUUAAUAUGAUAAUAAUAAGUUUAUUAUAAAAAACAUGUUGAAAGCUUUCUAAUUGUGCUAGGUUAAAUUUAUAAAAUCUUGAUCGAUAUCUUUUUAAGUUAAAUUGAGUUACUAUUGGGUCGAAACCAUGUCAACUUGUCAAGAAACCCAUUGGACUUAAACCAUGAUCAAAUUGGACAUGUUAGAUGGUUAAAUCAGUGACCUAAAGUGGGCCGGGGCAGUGGUAUCGUCAAGUUCAAGCAGUGGUAUCGCUUUGAGUCAAUCGAAAAGCAAUAUUUGUGUGGUUUCGAUGGUAGUACCACGCAUGCUAGCGAUAGUACUGUCCAAGGCAAUGAUUGUAUUACUUAGGCUAGCGAUAGUAUCUUUAGAGUCUUGAUUCAUGGCCUCAUUAUAAAGAUAGUACCAUUCGGUACUAACGGUAGUAUCACUAGUACCUAAAAAUUUUAGGGAUUUGAAUUUUUAGCACUAUUUAUGAAGUAUUUUGGGUCUAUAAAUAUCUCACUCAUACUUGCUUGAUGGAGCACUAAUUUUUGAAUUCAAAGGUAUUGUAAACUCUCUCUUUAAGCAUUGUUUAAGUUUCUAUCACAUUCUUGAGUUUAGAAGUGGUUCUAAGUCAUACGAGGUGAGAUCUCUUGUAAAAGCUAGAGUGUGGAGGUUCUCCCUUAAGCGUUAAAAGGAGAAGAGUUGUAAUAAAGGUACUUGAUCAGGACUAAUAGCAGAUAAAAUUUUCCCAACUACAGGAGGAAAUCUUGCUAUUCUAUUGAGGGAAAUCCUCUAUUCUGUUGAGCGAAAUCCGGACCGUGACUCUAUCUCAAAGUAGUGCAACAUUUUCCACGGACGUCCUCCAGGAUCAUUGUGUCGGUCUCCUUCGAAGUUGAACAUCGUGACUCUAUCUUAGAGUAGUGCAACGUUUUCCACGGACGUCCUCCAGGAUCAUUGUGUCGGCCUCCUUCGAAGCUGAACAAGGGCCACCACACCGCGCCCUCUUCUCCUCCCUGCAUCGGUGGCAUUCUUUACUGUCGCCCUUCCUCCACCUCUUCCUGUAGAAGCAGAGCCAACGUAGCCUUGCAACUGCUCCCCGGCCAACGAUCUCUCCUCCUCGUUCCCGUAUCUCGCUCAAGCGAGAAUUGUCGUUGUCGUCGUCCUUACCGUAGCAACCCAGCAACAGCUCUAUAUUCUGUUGAGGGAAAUCCUCCCUCCAAAUCUCUAUAAAUAGGACUAUAAAUAGAAGGACAUAUUAAUGCAUUCAAGCUUUUUCAAUAAAACUUCUUCAAUAAUUCUUCUUAUAUUCUAUUCUUUUAUCUUCUAUUCAUUCGAUUUACGAUCAAAUCGUAAAUCGAUUUGUAUUUUUUCUCUUACCUUGAUUUACUAUUGCAUACCGAUUUAGUUACUAGCAAGUUUUGAUAUAUAUCAAUAUUAUGUAUGAUGGUUGAAGUUUGAAUAAAUGGAACUUAGACUUGAUUAAUUUAGUUUUGACAAAAAUGGUCACACUAAGUAAAGUUUAAAUCUCUAAGAUAUUUUACCCAUAGUAUAAAUAUCAAAUAAAUUAUUUGAGUAAAUAUUUUAUGUUUUAAUUUUUUUUAAUAAACAACAUUAUGAUGGAUCGGUAGAGAUUUUAUUCUAAAACGAAAAUCUCAUAAUAAUUUUAUUUUAUUUAAUAUUUUAAUUAAUUUUAUUGUCUAUGAUUACAAAUAAUCAAUAUUUAUUGCCCCUAUUAGUUAUAUAUCAACUCUUCAAUAAAAAAAAAAUAUCUAUUGCUUGAUUUUAUACUGUUUAAAAUCAUAGAUAUCUUCCUUGAUUUUUUUGGUCUUCUUGUGUUUGUAAUAUUAAACCUAUACCAAAUUCUUCCUUAAGAUAGCUUAUAACGAUUUCAAAUAAUUUUUAUAUUUUUAUAUUUUAUUUUAAUCAAUAGAAUCAUAUUUAAUUUUAUUGCUGAGUUUUUACCAUGCACAUGACAUCGUAGUACAUCCUAAUUAAUCCUUAAUAUUAUAAAGGACUGCUACAUAUAUAUAUAUAUAUAUAUAUAUAUAUAUAUAUAUAUAUAUAUAUAUAUAUAUAUAUAUAUAGCAUCUAGAAACGCCUUUGGAUGUGAGACAUGAUGUGUGAUUUGACAUUUUCACACCCGCUCACGAAGAUAUAAAUAUCUAUUAAUCUUCUCUAUCAUCUUAAAUUGUUUAUUAAUAUUAUUGCAUCUAAGUCAGAUGAGACAAGGUCAAUGAUUUUAUAUUUUGACAUAAACUAAUUUGUCAUGCUUGACUUGAGACAUUAAGAGAGCCAUGAUUGAAAGCUAAGUAAUUCUCGAAUCAAUUGACCCAAACCCAUCUAGAUAGAGAGACGUAACCAAAUCACAAAGCAACACGUGGCUAUUCAGACACGGCCUCAACAGGAACUCCUUUCCUAGAAACUUCCCUGCACGCGUAUUAAUCAUCAAGUGGUCAUGGUUGGCUGCAGCAUAUCGUAUGCGUCCUCCACAGACACAGAGGAGGAAGAAGACAAAGGGAGAACAGACGUGUGCCCUAAUGGCCAUAUUUUUCCUACCCAGCGUAAGCCAAAGCACACACGAAAGGUCUACUCUCACACAAAAUCUAGAAGGUAUAUGACUUGUGAAGAACGUUUCUCUUUUAGUCUAUAAAUACUCUGUUAUGACCUGCUGGGAUCAACGAAGAAGAUUGGAGCAUUCCGAGAGUGCCUUCUUUGUGCUUCUACCUACUCCUCCAACCCUAGGCAUGAUAGUUCACAGGAUGGCGAAAGGCUACUACGGUUCUAAGUUUGCGACGGAGGUGGCGCCGCCAGAGCUGGUCUCGGUCGUGAAGCGCAAGGCAGCGAAGGUACUAGACACGAUCGAGGAGGAGGAAGAGGAGUUGGAGUUGAUGGAAGAUCUUUCCGGGACUUGGGAGAUCACUCCUGCUGGAAUCGACAGAGAAGGAUUGUGAGUCGAUGAACGUUGUCCUGUAAACUCCUUUGAGUUCUUCAUUCCAGCCCUGUACAAAUUACACCUGUGCUGAUACUGAAAUUUUUGUGGCUUUUCUUAGAUUAGAUGCCGCUCUGUGUUUGGUGUUUCGUGCUCAAAUCUUGCUUGCAGAUGUAAUUGUGCUUUUACUGUACGGUGAUUGGCAAAGAAGCUCCUGUAGAAAUUGCCUGAUUCAAUCGAUAGGUUCCCCUGUUCUUACUUGGUAUGAGAAUUAGUUCCGACUAUUUCUACCACUGUAGAUCAGAUUUAUCUGCAGUACAAGAACAUAAUAUUUCUCACCCAAAAAUUCAAAAUGAGUGUUUUGCAGAACGAAGUUAAACAAAUAAAAAAUAAAAUAAAUAUUUUGCCAAUAAUUUAAAUAAAUAUUACAAAUGGUAUCACAUAAACAUAUCCAAUAUUGUACCCAAACAUUAUGCCACCGAAUGAUCCCUGUUAGUGGCUUCCGGAAUCACUUGCUCAAGGUAUUAGAAUUAAGCCUCAGAUCAUCGUACCAGAAAAGAAGUAUAUAACAAAUAUAUAUAUAUCUUUUUUUCCCGAUAGAUAAAAACAGAUCAAAAUAUGGAGAUACUUGAAUUCUGGAUGUUUCGCUGCAAAAUGCUGGAAUAUAUACCUCGGAGAGCGUCCCUGAGUUCCAUCCUGAAAGGGAAAAUAGCCAGAUUAAAAAAAUAUAUAGCAGGAAAAUAUUUUGCAGCCAUCAUCAGAAAAGUAGAGAAAUUUUGUAGAUUAAAAUAUCAAACAUUCUUUCCAAGACUUGGGAGUGAGGAUAACAAUUGUUGAGGUGAAUGUAAAGUCAAACAAGAAUGGGAAGGCUGCUAGAAAUUUGGAAACUCAAGAUGACACCUCCAGGCAUUUUUCCUUUUUUGCCAAUGGCUGCAAGGGUUCUGGAUUUACUUAGCAAGUGAGAAGUUUUCUCAACAACAGUAAAGUAGAAAAAAGAAAAGACCACAAGUAGAAUAACUAAUGAUUCAGAAAGAUAUUGGUAAAUGCUUGCUGCCAUAAACAUCAACUUUACAGCGAAAAAUCUCGAAUCAAUUGUGUGAUUGUUUGCAGCUUCUACAUUGAAUAAAACAGCCAGAAUUUCAACAAAACCAGGGAACAACCACCAAACGUAGAAUCAUAAAAUGGAACAGUGCAUCACAACCCCAACUAGGCUAAUGAAUAAUCAAUCAUGGGCAGAGUACAGAGUGAGGUGUUAUUCUGUGAACCAAUGUAGCUUCUACAUUGAGAAAAAGCCAACGUUUCAACAAAACAAGAGCAUACCCGCCAAAGAAGAAUCAUAAAUAUGUAAUAAUGCAUCACAACCCCGACUAUGCAAUGAAUUAUCGAUCAUGGGCAGAAUUCAGAGGAUUGUUAUUGUACUAGUCUGUCCACACACGUGUAGGGCACAUGUUGAUGGGCUUGGCUCAUGUCCUUCGCUGCCAGCUGGUAAGUGGAAUGCAUGACACUGAUCCUCUUUCAUAUAGUGACCACAUCCAGCUAAAACUUUGAAGCUAUACAAGGACCACAACCGAAGAAAUAAAGAUGAUACAGGAAAGACCAUUGUGUCUGCUUUGGUUGAUGUUUUAUCCUUUCCAUUUCUCUCUUGCUAAUUACAAAUUAGUACCCAGAUCAUUAAACAGCCAAUAAGGUAAUUGUACCAGCUACAUGUAUAUGAUUAUCGACGACUAAUCCAAAACUUGUUCCCCAUUUUCUUCCAACACCAAAUUUUGAGGGCAAAUUUUACCAGAUUACAUCAGCAAAAAACAAGCUUAAUAUUCCCGCCAGUACUAAAUUUAUAAGUCCCUCUUAUGCCAAAGUUCAGCUUCAACCAGGAAUUUUCUACCUGCAAUUAGACAGUUAUGGAGACAACCGUUACUCGGAUUUUCUAGCUCCUUUAUAUAAGUAUGCCCCUUGGGACUACGGUACAAAACCACAAACAAGGCUCCUUUAUCAGUAACAUAGCAGGAUGGUAGUUUUCUCCUAUCUGGAGCUCCUCAAAUGAUAAGUAUCCAGAUCUGAUUUUGGAGAUGCCAAUAACUUAUCCAAAGACUAAACCUUCUUGAAUCAUCAAGAUGGCAUUCAACUUGCACAGCUGCUACAUGUACAGACUGCUUUGCAAUUUUCCGUUUAGCCUAGAGCUUGAAACAUUACCAAUCCAAGGUUCUGUGUGAAGAUUGAACCACAUCUGCUGCAUCGACCAAUUUCUCUCAUUUUUCUUGUGCCAGUUGAAGGUUAUAUAUUGUGUAUCACAAAUAUGAAAGUAUUUGUGCCCCAAUUAUCUGUGUGCUGGAAGGUUGGUUUUAAGGUUCAUUAUGGUUUCUAGUACUUUCCGAAUCUUUUAAACCAAAACUUGAGUGGCCAUUGUAAGGUCAUGAAUGAGGUCAUUUUAGUUGUUGUCAUUGACUAUUAUCACUAGCCAUAACCAGGUUACAUAACACAUCUGGAGAACCCAGUUUCCGGCAGUUUAGGUGGUUUAAGAAUGAUAAAUGAGGAUGCCAUGGUGGAAAUUUUGGAAGGUUUACGAAGGAGAAUGUAUUAGCCCUCAGUAAUUUUGACUGCCACUUCCAUAUGCAUGUACAUUCCGCUGAUGCAACCACACUGGCUUUAUGUGUCCUAGACCAGCACAAUUAGAUGCAGCUCUUGCAGGAGGCACUAAGGCACAUGUCUUUGCACCAAGAUAGAUAGAGGACAACUAACCAAGCCAACAAGUGCCAUACACAUUGUACAUCAAUUCAUAUCUGAUGUUCCGUAAUUUUAUACAUUCAUAUGUUUUACUAUUUCUACUAAUAAUAAUUUAUGCACAGUGUCUAUAACAAGUUCAUUUACAGACAGCACUGUUACAAAUUUUAAAAAGGUAGUUUGGUCCUGCAUAUGCACUUCAAUAGAUGAAAAUUUGCUACCAAUAUGCAUGCAUCUACAUUUAAUUAUGUGAAAUCUAUCUUCAAAUAUAACUCUAUAUUUACUAAGCAACACCUAGGAGAAAGUUGUUUAAAUAAAUCAAAAUUGAAAUAAAAUAUUAUUUUAUUUCAAGGGACAUCCAUCUAAAACCACUCAAAUCUAGCAUUAUCUACAUCAACCAUCAAAAUAGAGAAAAUUGACAUCAUCAUAUCCAUUUGAAGUUAUGUGAUCUAAGAUGCCAUAAUAGUCUCAUGUGUAUCUAUAAUAACUUUGAGUCCCAAUUUAGCAUAUUCAUCGAAUGGCAAAAAAGGAAGGCUAACCAUGCCACUAGUUCAUUUGAACUAAUGGCUGUUUACCAUAUCACUUCCUCUCUAAGCUUCUUACAUGUCAUAUAUUCUAAAUGCUAAAAUUCUUAGGUAGCAUGUGGGGAUAAUCAUCACAAGAAAACACAUUUGUUGACUACACCAUUGAAAUCUACAAGAAGAAAGUCAGAAACGCUUGCACUCUUUGUUCCAACUUGGUCAACAUAUAAAAAUUACAGCAAGAAAUUGAUCAAUUUCAAGAUAUUUUAUAAUCUGCAUAGUUCCAAGAACUAAAUAGUGCAGUCUGAAAUAAUAGAAAUAAAGAAGUGUGCAAUAAAAUCUAGUUAGAAGUAUAUUAAUUCGGUCAUAUCAAAAAGAGCAAGGAAACCUACAACUCAAUAAUCUGCCAUUAAAACCUACAGUUGGGCCAGAAACAAGCACAUAAGACAAUAAAAUAGCAUUAAGAAAUUCAUAUGGAGAAACAUGUCUGAGUAGUUAUGAAUGACAAUAAUAUAUCUCCGACUAGAAACAUCAUAAUAUAACAAACACCAUGAAUCAAAAUGACAAAACAUUCAAUGGCUUUCAUUAUCAGAAAUGAAAGAAUCUCAAGAGUAAUGUCAGAGACUGUACCUCUCAACUCUUCUCAAUCCAGAUCUUCCUGCUCAGCCUCUGACUGCCUGUACCCUUGCUGUCCAGAAUUUGCGUCAUUGCUAUUACCACGGGCGUUGCCAUUACCCCCAUCACCAACUCCAACAACAUGCCCAUCCAGACCUUGAGUUGCAAAAGGCAUAAAUGGCCAGGGCAGAGAGAUACUAAAACUCCUCUGCAACAUCCCCGAUCCUGGAGAAUUCCCCUCUACAGAAGCCCCAGCUGUGGACCCACCAGAAUUCCCCACCCCAGACAAUGUCCUCGCUGCAGGGGCCCCUCUGCGCUGCUCGUAGUCCGUAUCGUCAGUAGGCAGCUCAUACCGGCACACCGGACAGGAAUUAUGCAACCCAAGCCACGGCAAGAUGCAGUCUUUAUGGUAGAUAUGCUUGCAAGGCAUCAACUUUGCCUCAUCCCCCAUCUCGAAUGCGUCCUUGCACACGGCACACUGGGCCUCGUCGGAGGCAAGCGACUCGGCCGAGAUCCUGAUGUCCGGCAGGGAUUCAACAGCGGAUUUGGCAGCCGGAGGCGUGCCAUAACGAUUGGGAUCGUUCUCCGCGAGCUGCUGGAUGAGCCUCUCGAGGCCAGGGCCAAUAAAAUAGUCCCCGAGGUUGCCGGCGCCGACGACGGGACCACCCUCGAGAACGACCUGGAUGUUGGCGCCACCGGAGAGCAACUGCCGCAUGUAAUCCUGGAGGAAGAGCAUCGGAUUGAAAGGAGCGGGUCCAGGGGUGGGGGAGGGUUCGGAGGAGCGGACGGGGCCGAGGAGGUCGGCGAGGUCCCUAGGGCUGCGAAGCUCGAAGUUGCUGGUUGGAGACAAGAGAAAUGGGAGGGGGGAUGGGGAGAGGAGGAAGGAGUCGUAGCUGCCACGGGGAAUGGAGAGGGGGAAGAUGGCGUUACGGAUGGGGAAAGGGGCGGGAUCGGGGCUGGGAGGCGUAGGGUCGACCUCCUCGAGGAAUCCACCACGGCAGAUAGGGCAGGUGAUGUCGAGGGUAGAGGAGGGGAAGAUGGCGACGUUGCGUUGGCAUUGGUGGCAGAAGUACUCCUGGAAGUCGGAGCCGGGGCCGGCGGAGGACAUGGUGACGGGGUCGGGAGAGGGAGAGGGAGAGGCAGAGGGAACUUUCGGUGGCGAGAACGCAGGGCAAAAGGGAAGGUUUUGAAACGACCGGGGGCGCUGAAAGAAACGCACGAGACUCGUGUCAGCGACAGCACGAUAUCUACCAAAAGUAGCAACCUUCCCAAGAGCUGAAGACAUUGAAUUCCAAAUUUUAUAUAUAUAUAUAUAUAUAUAUAUAUAUAUAUAUAUAUAUAUAUAUAUAUAUAUAUAUAUAUAUAUAUAUAUAUAUAUAUUCACAAUAAAACAUAAAUUUUUUGUUCGUCGCUAUUAAAAAUAGUAUAAUGAUCUGUAAAUUUAAGAAUGAAAAAUGGUAAAAUAUCAUUACUGGGAUUCAUUUUUCAUAAUUUAGAAAAAAAAAUUGUUGGCUAAAGGCAAAAGAGAGGCCACUAAAUCUUGUGCUGAAGAAUUACUAAUAAAUCUACAUGAUAAUUAAGGUUAUUUUUCCAUAUUUUAGCAUGCAGAAGAGAGGACGCUAAAUUUAUAGCUAAAUAAAUAAAUAAAUAAAAAUGUCGAUAAACCUGGUUCGAAUGUGAGGCAUGUACUCGACACUCUCUAUGUCGCGAUUCGACUCUCGCCAUUCCCAAACGAGUGGACUCGGAUUACCACGAGCCGCACGAAGAGCCACACAGCUUGAGAAGCGCCCGCGCCCUCUCCGUCCAUGGCGACGACGAGCUUCUCCCCCUCCGCGGCCGUUCGAGCCCCCUCCGCCUCCUCGUUCGGUCCGCAUCUCGACCUCAGCCGCCGCAUCCGCCUCCCGCUGACACGCCCCCCUGCUCCGGCAGCUCGGUGGGGGGCGCGGCGGCACGUCGCCCCUUUUCGCCUCGCCGCCAGGAGGCUCUCCGUCCGCUGCGGCGCGCUCGUCCAGAUCGACCAGAGCGAGUUCCCGGCUGAGGUGCUGGGGUCUGAUAUCCCGGUCCUGGUGGAGUUCGUCGCCGAUUGGUGCGGGCCCUGCCGUUUGAUCUCAUCCGUCGUCGAGUGGGCUUCCCAGGUCUCUUCUUGUGCCAAACCAUUGCAAGAUUUCUCCUUUCUGUUAAUUGUCGCGUUAUAUCAGUAUAAAAAUCGAUUUUUUGGGGGUUUUGUUUAAUGAAAGAUUGAAUUCAAAGGGACAUGAGCAUUUUAAUUCCUUUUUGUCAGAAAAUGAUGCUUUUAGGCUAAAAUAAUAUGCAUUGAAUGUAAGAUGCACGUCCAGGAUUGUUGCAAAACCACUUUUAGUAGAUUCUCAAUUAGGAAGGUGCAUAGAACAUCGAGAUAUUGCGUGACAAAAUAUUUGUUGUUUUGUUUUAUUAAAGCCUUAUAUUGGUAGAUGACAGCAUUUUAACCUGUACUGGGUUGAAAUGAUUCUUGUAUCUAGAAGGAAGCCUCCUUUGUGGAGGAGCCAAAUCACUGGGGUGAUCGAUGGAAAUUGGCUACUGUGAGACCUUCCAUCCCACAAACAACCACAUCAUUCGAUUCUGUGCCUUUGGAUAACUGUGAUUGCGUUUUUCCUGUCCUUAAUCUCUAAUCGCCGCCAUCCCAAGUCCAUCUUCCCCUCUUCUGCUUAUAAAGAGGAAGUAGGUGUCCAUGUUCUGCCGCAAGCAGCUUAUGCCUUACAAUGCUUCCACUACCAUGCCGCCCCCUGCUACCAUCAACUCAAGUACUCUCCUUCCAACUUCUUUGCAUCUUCCCAUGGAAACUAAUCCCUCCUAUAUUCCCACAGUUCAGGUCAUCCAUCUUCCUGAGAAUGAGCACUUCACCUACUUCUCCUCCCAUGUUGUUGUCAUGUUGGGGAGCCAACAAGGCAUAGUGGAUAUGUAUCAAUUUCUCUGUAAUUUUAGCUAUUAGGCCCAUAAUUAUUGAAGUUCUUAUUUCCAUCACGAUCAUGCUUAGAAUCAAUGCUAGGUAAAUUGAUUUUGAUAUUCCACGUUAGCCUUACACCAAGAUCUUUGACAUGUUGUUACUGGUGUUGCCACAGUAUCUCAAUUUGAUAUCUCAUUGUGUAUGACAUGUAAAAAUUCAUUUCAUAUGCUAGAAUAAUGACUAAGAUUAUGAGAAUGAUUCUCAAUUGUGUUCUUAUUGCUCCAAAAUUGAUGAGUGUGUAUGAUGGUGCAGGGUUAUAUAUUGCCAAACACUGGUGCAUUAUCUAUUCAAAGAAGUGUCAUAAGUCUAUAUCGCAAAGUUACAUAUUAGGAUUCUAACCUGUGAGAUAAUGAUAUGGAGAAACUAUGACUGUUGUUACUUUUGAGAUUUAGAUAGAAAAUGAUAUGCAGUCGUUCCAUGGCAGAACUUUAAGGAGUGUCGCAAUAAUUGCUGCUCUUAAGCUAUGAUGUCCAAGAGCUAAUCAGCAGACAUAACUGAACUUUUUUGUUAUGUUAUUAGUACCAUGUAAUCAAUCUUAAAUUAAUGCUAUUUAAGUUUUAGUUUCCUGAAAAUAUAAGAGUAAAAUAUGUGGAAACAUGUUAUAGAUCUGUUCCGUUCAAUUAGAACUAAUGUUGAUAUUUGAAAAAAUAUAUAUGUACAUGAAGAAUCAGACAAUUAUUCAUCAAGGAUAAGUAACUGCAAAAUGCUACAUUUACUGAAUAAGUUCAUUGGAUGAUAGUCUUGUAUCAGACAAAAAGGUCCAACAUAAGUUGUCCUUACAAUCACUCUUUUUUGUUUUUGAAGUGGAGUCUCUUAUUGUUUAGAGGUUUCAAAUGAUGUAUAACAUGCAUGAGUGCUGUAAUAGGGUUAAAUUGAGCUGGAUAUGUAGUAAGUUUGUAUGUUAAUCUAUUAAAUUCCUUGCUGAAUUCCUAGAUCUAGAACAAAAAUUAUAGUAUGUAGAUAUCAUAGUUUCUCCAUUGGAUCAUGUAAGGUUUAGCCAAUCCGUUGAAGUGAACCAGAUUUGCAAGUACAUGUUUAUCUGAUUCACAUUGUUAGCUAGAGAUGCAUAUUGACCCACUUUUUUCCCAAACAUGCAUAACUAAGAACAGAUACUUCAGGUUCCACUAGUUCCUUGAAAAUUUAACACUUUAUAAUGGAAGGCAAUAUGCAAAGUAUAAUCAUUGCCUAUGAAUAGAAAAAGUUUUAGAAUAUUUCUUCUCUAUUCAUGUCUAGCUAUACGAUCAAAUGAUCAUAAAACAGUUGUUGUCGGACAGUUCCCUAGGAGUGAGUACAUACCUGAACCUAAUCUAAAUGCACUGACUGGUCACUGAUUUAAGACCAAUUGAACUUGUUUUUUAGUGAUAUUACCUUCAAUAGCUACAAUCGCAGGAAAAAAUCCAUGUAGCCAACCCAAUAGUUGAGAUGAUUGCGUAACGUUCAUGUUAUACGAGCAAAACUACAGCUCUAAAGGUUUGCUUGAUAUCUGCUUACAAUUUUAUCACAUGUUUCAGGCACCUACAUGUUUUGUGUAUUGGGCAUCAUAGUUUUACUAAAUGAUGUAACGUUUAAAUUCUCUGACUGGAAAUUUGAAGCUUUCAGGAAUACAAGGGCAGAGUAAAGGUUGUGAAGAUCGAUCAUGAUGCAAAUCCUAAGUUGAUCACAGAGUACAAGGUUUAUGGCCUGCCAACAUUGAUCCUCUUCAAGAAUGGGCAAGAAGUUCCAGAAAGUAGAAGGGAAGGUGCAAUCACCAAAGUCAAGCUGAAAGAAUACUUGGACAAUUUUUUGGAGCCCACAUCUGUAGUCUAAUCUCUUUCAAGCUCAAGUACACUGUUGAAUCUAGAUGACCCAGACAUCUGUAGUUCCUCUUAUAACUUCAUGUAAGCUGCAGCCUAUUGCUUGAGGCUUCAAAUGAGUCCAGGAAAAAGUUCCCUUCCUCUUGGAAAUGCAAGCUGGCCUCUUGUAAGACCAAAAUAUUUUUCUGUACACACCUAAUAAGAUUUGUACUGUAAUCUGCAGUUGUCUUUUGAUGGCAAUAUGUGGAUUAGUUGUAUUAAAUAUGAGCUUUGACAAUGUUGAGCGUAGUUCAGAGCUGGCACUUUUCCUACUUUAAGAACAGAGUUCAUUUUGUGAUGUAUGGGAAUUACCUCAAAGGUAUGCGUUGUAAAGCCUGUUUCUCCUUGUUCACAUCUCAUGAAUACAUUUGAGGCAAUGCCCCUUUCUCAAAGAACUGCGGACAAAAGAACAGAAUAGAUGAAUCUAUCCAUAUGGAAUUUAGAAAGGAAUUAUGACAUAAAUUGCUGAUCAAAUGAUUGCUCUGCAGCCAUCAACUCACUUCAGAUAGGGAUUCAAGUCAAAAUUGCAAAUUUUAAUUUUCCAUAAAUAUUAAUUAAAUGUGGAUUUUUUUGAGUGAGAUUUUCAGGAAUGUUCGACUAAAAUUUCCUCAUUUUUAUGGAAAAAAUCCUCUUAAAAAUUCCUCCAAUAUCUUGUCAUAGAUUGUGCAAAAUGCUUUGUUUAUAUGGGCUUUUGGAUGUACAAACUCUUCAAUUAAGCUUCUCAAAUUUCAUAGGAAACUCCUCGUGGGAGCAAUCUAUGAAUCACAUGGUACUGCGGCCUCAACUCCAUCAAAAUCCAAGACUGUCGAAUCUGUCAAUCACUUUCUUGUGGAUACUCGACAUCGUUUGUCUCCCGACACAGUCGAAGUCUCCGUUUUUUCUUUUUUUCCUGUACUUGAGAAGUAGGAUCUGCUCAUCAACUUGCUAAUCACAGUUCCAAUGGCUUCUGGGCAUCAACGAAAGCCUUCGAGAUGGCGAGGAUUGCACUGUAACAACUGUGGCUGUGAUAUCUCAUGCUUUCUUUUAUCCUCGGAAUCAAACGAUGCCUAAAACCAUCCCUUUCUUCGGUUAGAUAAAAAGAAAGGAUGAUCGAGGGCCUGAGAAAGAUCGAUAUGCAUAUGUACGAAUGUGGGUAGUGUUUCUGCUAUUUGUUAAUCCAUUGUUACAUAGGGAACAAAGACAAAGCUGUGAUGAUUGUUUUAGUUCCAAGCGUCUUCACUGAUGCUGCUGGAGGAAAGGCUUGAGAUGGCGGCUUUCACUGUCAUUGGGCUUCGAGGACGACGAUGUAAAGAUGAAGUGGUGAUCAUUAGUGUGUGUUGCUUUAGAUUCAAGUGUGCCUUCGAACUUUGAGGCUAUGAAUGAGACUCAUCCAAUUGCCAAAUGUUCUUUCAGGGAAGGAGGAGAAAAGAUAUGUUUGUCGAUGUGUGUGUGUGUGUGUGUGUGUGUGUGGUUUACAUGCAGCCAAAACUCAUGAAGAGGGACAGUUUGGCUGAGUCGAUCCUGUCCAUCCACUUCGUGUAUAUUUUACUUGAACGUUGCUUUAAGAUUAACAAAUGUUUGGUAAUUGCACGACCGUUGACUUGACUUCUUUCUUCAUGGGAAAUACCAUUCCAUGCGAUUGUGUAUGAUGAGAUGAUGAACGGUCGUUAUAUUGUUUCGUAAAUACUCAUCAAAUAAGUCGUUAUCUUUAAAUUAUUGAGUAAUGUUUUAACCUUAAUUUGUAUUCCAUGGAAUAUUAAAUAUACACAUGUAUUCCUCUCACCAAUUAAAGGUAUUUGGUGAAAAUGUAAGUCAUUUGUGUCCUUUUUCUUGCACAGUAAUUAAAAUAAGUCAUGUGAUAAAUAGCCCACUUCAUCUCUAACCACCUCUAUUUCUCUCUCGCUAUCUCUCACACACACACAAACGCAAAGAAAGGUUCGAGAUUUGCCGGCAAUGGUGUCUUGCCUCGGAUCUCCGAUGCCAGUGGCGCUCUCCUGCUUCUGGAUUUAGCGUCUUGUUCGAGCUUUAUUAUUUGUUGUUUUCGUUUGGUUUGAGAUUUUCCUCGUUCUUUUCGUAAGAUUGCUCAUAGAGAUGGCGAAUCCGCGAUGGAAUUCUCAGACAAAUGGAUAUGACACUGCGAUUUGGGCCGCCAAGAUCGCUUUUUGCUUCCUCGGCAUCCUCUCCUUCGGCGCAGCAGCCAGGGCCGCCAUCCCUGCUGCUGCCGGGGCGCUGGCCUCCGCGGUCCCUGGCUUCUGGGAGUUCCUUCGCUCUUGGCUCGCGCCUCCGUACCUGUUCAUCGCCGUCCAUUUGAUCAUCCUUGUCAUCUGGAAGCUCUCCGAUCAGAAGCAGGAGCAUCACCAACACCGCGAGCAAUGGGCGGCGGCUGAGCGCGUGGCGGAGCCUGAGAAUCCUGCAAAGGUCAAAUCUUUCGAGCCUUUGCAUAUUUCUCCCGUGCCCAUUCUCCGGAAACCCUCGCCGGAGAUGUGGCGCGACGAGAUCUCGCCGUCUCUGACAACACCGGCUGUCCGGGCGCCGGAUCCCGGUGAAUUCUCGACGUCCGACGCGUCGUGCCUGACGACGGAGUCCGGAGAGAUUUCCACCGCUUCGUCAGCGUCUGCGGUCAAGAAGAGCGUCGAACCGGAGUCCAUGAGCAGCCUUACGGUGAAGAAAGAUGAGGACGAGGCAGCGGCGGCGGCCACUGCGGCUGGGACAGCGAAUGACUCGAUGGAGGCAACAUGGAAGGCGAUCAUGGAGAAGUCGCCUCGGGCAGCGGAGGUACCGCCACCGACGGCGUCGUCCGGGCGGGGCUCGAGGCAACCGGAGGCCCCUCCCUCAUCUACGGGUCAGGACGAGUUGAACAGGCGAUGCGACGAUUUCAUCAAGAAGAAUUACGAGCAGAUCCGAUUCCUCAGCGGCCGGCGGCUGUAGUUGGAGAUGCAAAUUACUCGUUACGCUAGUCUUCAUCUCUUCUCUUUCUCAACUUAAUCUUCUUUAUAGCUCGUUAAGCCCUUGUAAUGAAAGCUUUUAGUGUAGGGAGACUGCUGUGCUGCUAAAAAUCCUAUUUUUAAGGUAACUACUGUAUGAUGCAUUAGCCAAAACUAGUUUACGUCUGUCCUCUGCUUCAACAUUUUUAGCCUUUCAUACGAAGAGCAAUCCAAUUUUGGAUUCAUUUCCUCUUUCGUUUGUAGAUCUUUCUUUCUGCAAAUGUUCUGCUGUAUUAUUCUGAGGGAUGACAGGUUUGUGUUUCAUUGCCUUGUGGGAUUGCAGGUACUUCUGAUAUGCUGAACUUAUUCUUGACUUGGUGCUGCUGAUUGGACUGGCUGGUGACUUGUGCUGAUAGAUGGGAUGUUUGGUGGUCUUCAGUCUCACCUUUUGGUCUUCUGUUUGGUACUCUAUUUAACUCACUGUUCAAUACAUGUUUGUUAAGUGAUGGUACAGGAGUAUAUCCUGACAAUGAUCUGGAGUUCAUAUAAGCUUUUUACUUGCCAUGUGGGUUUGCUGAAUGUUUAUUAAAGUGACCAUAUUUACUCUUUGAUGAUGGCCAUUUUCCUUUUUUGGUGAUGGCCACAGAUCUUCAUGGCUUGUCUUUUGGUCUUCCCUGCUGCUUACAUUACAUUGUACACUAUGUUAUACUUUGGUACUAGCAGUUCACUUGAUAAGUAUUUGAAUCAUAUUGAAGUGUGAUCUGAAAGGUAGGAGGAGACCUUUGGAAUCAGUCUUGCUGGUAAUUCUCCUUUCACGUGAAUUGGUGUAAAACUAUCUAACUUGCUACCUCACGAUUAAUUUGUUUUGAGGAAAGCAUUAGUAUGUCAACAUGUUCGAUACUCUUAAAAGAAGAUAUUUAGAACUGUCAAGUUCUCAUGAACAUUAUGCACUGAUCACUCAAACCAGUUGUAUUUGAUGUGCAUGAUCAACAUGAAAGAUGAAAAUGAUUGAUGGGUAUCAAUUAAGUACAGACAUGACUACUGCAAAGGUACAAUUUACUUUGAAUGCAGGUAAAUUCAUGUUAGAGAUUCUCCUAAAAUAUGUAUGGUUUGGGAUGUUAGGAUGAAAUAAAAUGGGAGUGUGAUCUGAGCUUGGCUUUAUAAUCUGGUCUUAUCCACAAUGGCUGACUUUGAGACACACUGCCUCAUGAAUGUCAAUAUCUGUCACUCAUUGUCUCUGAUAUCUUCCAGAAUGACCCUAGUCUUGUGGUGAGUAAGAAGCAUAACUUCUUUAGCAUUGACUGCUGAUCAUUGGCAACUGCAGCAGAUAAAGGGAACAUAUCUUCUUCCUUAAGACACCAAAAGUGGUUACAGAAUUUAUUGGAUUAGGUUGAUUGGUUUGGUUUGUUCAUGUACACUUAUUUGAAGACAAUUCUUACUUAUCAAAUUGUCCUUGAUCUAUAUUGCUGAACUUCAACUAGUUUUCGGGUGGUACAACCUCACAUGACUCUCUUCGAGGUCCUUGGAUACCUUUUACAAUGUUCUCUCUUUAAUGUGUGAUUUUACACUCAUUUCUCUUUGAAGAAAACUGACUCAAAUUUAUUACUUACACCUCUUGAGGAGAUCUUUUUGCGUAGUUCUGCAGCAGUAUCUGAGUUGAUAGCAUCUGGCUAAAAACUAGUUUGUUUUUUGGUAGACAUUAUACAAUGGAAUGUAAUCCCUUUGUCAAGGUUGAAUUCAGCUUGAAGUGAUUCUCAUUUUCCUGUUGAGGUUGACAAUACAAGAGUUCAUUUUCUUAGAUCGUGUGAUCAUUUGUGCCUCUCAGAGUUGAGUCUUGGUCCAACAUGAUGGUGACAAGUGAAAUGGCAUUCAACACAAUUCUAAGUGCAUUAUCAAGUUCAGCACAACUUUUCCAUUUCAUGCUACAGUCAAGUAUCACUUUCCUCUUCUGAUGUUUUAACUAACUAGUUUUUGCAGACCUUUGGCAUAAUCAUUGUCUUUAUCACCCAGGUGAUAAAGGAGAAGAUGUUUCUUGUCUUAUAAGUACAAAGUUGCAAUAGGAUUUUGGAGCAUGACUGAUUUAAACUUGUCAUUCUGUCUGUACAAAAUGUUCUGUAUCAUUCUGUCUGUAAGUACAAAAUGUUUUCAAGUAUCAUUCUGUCUGUUCUGUUAAUGACAAUUCAUCUUAUAGCAUCAUUUUGGCUCUUUUAUUGAUCGAUGUUGAAUUGCUUGUCACCCAAAUGCAUGUUAACACAACAUAAGUGUAGGGUGUUGCAUAAAGAAUUGUAAUGGAAGAUUGAAACCAAAGAAGAUGAUUGAUUUAUCAAAAAUAAUCAGAAAGGUGAUACCUAAUCUAUUGUACUUGUCGUUAUUGGCACAGUUUCUUGGCUUAGUACCGGAUAAGUCUCCCAGCAAGAUUGAUGGUGACUAUAGAGUGGCUUCAACAGAAAGAACUCAAAGCCUGUAGAUCCUUAUAAAUGCAGGAGACAAUCUAAACAAUAGCUCAUCAUGAGUUCAGAGAAAUGGUUCUGAAACUAUCAGAGGAUGAACAAUAUCUUUUUCUUCAUGUCGAUGGUGGCCUGUCAGUACGAUCUGAUGUGUUUGUGAACACUGUCAUCCAUGUGUAUGUAAUUUGAUGGAUCAUGAACUGUCAAGCAACAUACCAACCAAUGGAAGGUGAACUUUCUGGGCCAAACAAUCACGUCAAGCCAAACAAGUGACCAGAAGGCCAUGAAGAGAUGAAGGUGGAGAUAAGGUUAGGAAUAAUUUAGUAAGCUUGAUUGGAGAUCACCCAUUGCUAUCAUUUCCCACCAGCACUGGGACAUCCAAGAUGGCGUUAGAUUUGAGUGAUAUACAUGAAUACAUACAUACAUAUAUAUAUAUACAUAUAUAUAUAUACAUAUAUAUAUAUAUACAUAUACAUAUAUAUACACAUAUAUAUACAUAUACAUAUAUAUAUAUAUAUACAUAUAUAUAUAUACAUAUAUAUGUAUAUAUAUGUAUAUUAUGUAUAUAUAUGUAUAUAUAUAUAUACAUAUAUAUAUAUAUAUAUAUACAUAUAUAUAUAUAUAUACAUAUAUAUAUAUAUAUAUAUAUAUAUAUAUAUAUAUAUGUAUGUAUAUAUGUAUAUAUGUGUGUGUUAAAUUUUAAUCGACAUGAAUGUCCUUUAAAAAAGCUUUGUCAUGAUAGAAAGAAAUUAGAUGUUGUAUGUUUAAAGAGUUCCUGUUGAAUAGUCGGUCUUCUUCUUUACCUAAUCAACUGCUCUGUUUCUAUCGUUAUUGAAAGAAUAAAAUGAAGAAGACGUAUUUAGACUGCUAUGUUUCUAUCAUUAUUGAAAGAAUAAAAUGAAGAAGAUGUAUUUAGUGAAGAUAUGAUACUCCCUAUUUAUACACGUUAUGAGAGAUGAUUUUUCUCAACAGAACUAUAAGAUUUCCUCGUGGGGGAAAUCUUAGCUACUAUCACAAGAAAUCGUAGUCGCUAUCAUGCUCUUGCCAGAUAGUACUUCUAUUAAGGAUGUCGAUCUUGGACCGAUGCGAUAAAAAUAGUUUGUGGACGAGAGGCUUCAUGAGUGAGUCUGCUAGUUGAUCAGUCGUAUGUAUGUAAGAAACACGUAGUUGAUGUUUGACAACUUGUUUUCGUACGAAGCGAAUGUCGAUGGCAAUAUGUUUCAUGUGUAAGUGAAAUACUGGAUUAACGCAUAAGUAAGUGGUUAUGACAUUAUCACAAUAUAUUGUAAGAGUAGAGGUGGAGUCGAUGUUAAGUUCCUUGAGCAGAUUUGUGACCCAAUUGAGUUCUACAGUAGUGGUUGCAAUGACACGGUAUUCAGCUUCAGUUGUAAAUCGUAAAACUGUCUUUUACUUCUUAGAACUCCAACUGAUUGGAUUAGCUCCAAGGAAGAUAAUAUACCCCAAUGUGGAUAUUCUAUCAUCAGAGUUUCCUAUCCAAUCAGCAUCAACAAAGGCAUGGAGAUGAAGGGGGAGUGUUUGCAAAAAAAGAGUCUAUGAUUGAGGGUCUCAUUAAGAUAUCGCAAGAUUCGUUUAACGGUAGACUAAUGCAUAGUAAAUGGACGAUGUAUGAAUUGUGAUAAUUUAUUGACCGCAAAUGAGAUAUCUGGGUGAGUGAGAGAUAAGUGCUAUAAGGAGCCAAGUACUUGACGGUAUUGAGUUGGGUUCGUAGCAAGGCUAGUAGAUAGAUUCACUAGUAGAUAGAUGAGUUGAGUUCCAUCACAUAGUUCGAGUGAUUCACUAGUAGAUAGAUGAGUUGUAAUUGUUUUUGUGUCUUACAUGUUUAUCUUUGAUAACAUAUCCUGAAUAUACUUUCUUUAUGAUAGGAAGAAUCCUAAAGAUGUAUAUGUUGCUUCCACUCCCAGAAAGUAGUUUAAGGUUCCUAGAUCUUUGAGGGAGAAUCGAUCUACCAAAUGCUUAAGGAAUGCCUUGAUCUUCAUGAGAUUAUUGCUUGUGACAAUAAUGUCAUCCACAUAUACUAGAAGAUAUAUUGUAUUGUCACUUUAUUGAUGGAGAAAUAGUGAUGUAUUAGACUUGGAGUUGAUAAAGCCAGUUGAUGUCAAAAGCGAGCCAAGUUCGAUGUGUUAGGAAAAGAGUCGGCACUAAGGAGGGGGGGGGGGGGGGGUGAAUUAGUGCAGCGGUAAAAAUUACGGUGGUUCAAAACUUCUUUGCGAUUAAAUCCGUUUUUGAUAAAAAAUCAUUUCGUAAAGGUAUUAACUUUGAAAGCGUAUGGAAGAGCAUAGUGAAUGUAAAGCAAGUAAAGUGGUUUGCAGUAAAGUAAAUUGCACAAGAGAAACGCAAACCAGAUUUUUAUAGUGGUUCGGUCGUCGUGACCUACAUCCACUUCGUCGAUUCCUCUUCCGUCGAGGCUACCGGCAUCCACUAUCGGUCUUCUUUCAAUGGGUGAAGACCAAUUAUCCUUUUACAUCCCUCUUCUCCUUUUCACAGGUUUGGGAGACAACCUUUUACAAUUCUAUUUUACAAGAUAUCCAUCUCAUACCUCCCUUAGAAUUCUUUCUAAGCUUUGAGAGGAGGGAACUUAAUUUUCUAAGUUUUAUAACUUUAGAAUCAUAGAGUUUUGCUUAAUAUUUCUUGCUUAUCUAUGCAGAAAUAGCUGGGGUAUUAAUAGGCCCCAAAUGGAUUCAAAUUUGGAGCCCAAAAUUCAAACCCCUAAAAUUUUAGGGUACGGGCGGUACCACCGCCUGCAACCUACCACUGGGUGGUACCACCGUCCAAACUAGCGGUACCACCACCCAAAGAGUCUCGGAGACUGAGUCUGGGCAGUACCACUGCCUAACAUAGUCUCGAAGAUUAUGCCACGAUGAUUUCACCUGUGUGGUCAUUGUUUGGGCCUUUCUCUUGGCCCAACACAGCCCAAACUUGGCCCAACUAUCUCCUAAUUGGGUUGGCCCAAUUCUAAUCCCUAUUAUAUGCUAACUAUAAAUUUUAAGACAUUUACUAAGCUAAAUAAAGUUUGUAAGUCUAGGUUUCUUCUUGCGAGCUUCUAGCGAACUUCCGACGAUCUCUCGGCAAUGUUCCAACGGACUCCCGGCAAGCUCCUGGACUUCAUGAUGAUCUUCUUAGCGAGUUCCAAUGAACUUCUUUGGCAAGCUCCGGGACUUCUCGGUCAAUUUCGACAGAACUUCCGACGAACGUCCGAACUUCCGACGAACUCUCGAACUCCCAACGAAAUCACGUUUUUGACUUCGAGAUUUCAUUUUGCUUUAUGCCUUGCUAUCGUAGUUAAUCUUGCACAUGUAAAAAUAUAUUUCGAUCUAGACAAUUAUUACUAAGCAUGAAUCAUGUUGUCCGGUAUGUCAUUGGUCCAUCGACGCUUCAUCCGAUUCUUCGACGCAUCAUCCUCUCUUGCAGCCUAUUACCCAAUCGGCCAGUUGACCUCUGCAACUCCGAUAUUCUUGGCGUAAUUUCCACUCUUCUUAGCCCGAUGGCCGAAUCCAUGGCCUAAAGCAUUCUAUCGAUACGUCAUCUGAUCCUUCGGCUAGACGUCCAAUCUUUUGACAUGUUCCACCGGUCCAACAUAAUUCUUCCUACUUUAAUUGUCUCAUCCUGAUCGAAGCAUCCUGCGUCACUCAAAACAUAGAUCAAUUCAUAAAUACUUAUCAAUUGGUUUCAUCAUCAAAAUUCGAGAUUCAACACGAUGUACUAGUCUUUUGGAGCUUGAUGAAGUCCAUAAAUAGCUUUUUAUAGUUUACAAACAUGCCUUAGAUACUGAAGGUGGAUGAAGCCAGGAGGUUACUACAUGAAUAUAUCUUUAGUUAGGGUCUCCUGUAAAAAGGUAUUGUUAAUAUCGAGUUGUCGUAAAUGCCAACCUUUUGAGAUGACCAAACUCAGGAUAAAUCAGAUUAUUGUGGGUUUAACAAUGAGACUAAAUGUCUUUGUGAAGUCAACAUCAGAACGUUGAUGAAACCCUUUGACCACUAGACACACUUUAUAUUUGGUAACAAAUCCAUUUGGAUUCCACUUAAUUCGAAAGACCCACUUAUACUCGAUGAUAUUUUAUAUGAGAUGAAAAGGUAUAAGGGUCCAUAUAGAAUUAUGGAGGAGGGUAUCAUAUUCUUCACAUAUGAAUUUACGAGAUUUUUGGACUUAAGUAAAUGUGGUAGUCGGUCCGAGGGAGAGGAGGAGGGGCGAGAGGCGGGGGAGGGUGCUAGUCUUCAAGAAGCGAUGAAACUGCUUAUCGAUUCAGGAGGACAAGUGCAGAGAAUUCCGACGGUGAAGUUGUCAGUGGUGUGGGCCAGCAACUUCUUCUACAUCUACCAAUUCAACAACGUGAACGACCUCCUCUUCAACUUGAGGACCAAGAGGCUCAACAACAUCUUCUACUGGGGCACGCAGAUGGUCAGCUCGAUGGCCAUCGGCUACGUGUUGGACUUCAGCUUCAGGAGCCGACGGACGAGGGCAAAAAUACUGGUGUAGAUCAGUAGUGGGGGAAGACAACUGUCGCAAUGCACGAGAGCCAAGGGAAGAGGGGUGCAUCGAGCAGGUUCGGCAACGUGUGCGAAACGCAGGGAAGAUGGGAGUGCAUUGGGUAAUAGAGGAGAUCAAAGUUGAUGUCACCGAUAAAAUGCAAGAGAGUCUCUAAUACCAUAAAAGAAUGAAAUGAAGUGUUAGAGCUAGUCUCAGAAAAUUUACCAAAGAGUAAUUUGGUAACCCAAAAAAGAUAAGAAAGUAGAAAAAAUAAAAACGACAAGAACACCAGAUUUACGUGGUUCGGUCAAUUGACCUACAUCCACGGACGAAGGAGGAGUAAAUCACUACUAUAAAAAAGGGACUAUUAUAAAUGCCUUAGGAAGAUGUUCCUAGGCCAUUUCAAAGCCCAGGCCUUUAUUUAUAGUUUAAACAGGAGAUACCAAACUUGAUUUUUCUGAUGUGGGACUUGCCAAACUAACAAAUCUCCACCUUGGCAUGUCUCAACAUUAACAAUUAACAAAACUUACUCCACCUUAUUCACAAAAGCCCCAAUGGGCAAUCAUCAACAAUGAACACCAACCAAGUCCAAGCACUGCUUGAACUUGUAAACCGGAAGAGGCUUCAUAAGCAUAUAAGCUAGAUUGUCUUUCGUAUGAAUUUUCUGAACAAGGAUUUUUCCCUCAGCAAUGGUACCCCGAAUAAAAUGAAACUUUACAUCAAUGUGUUUCGUCCUUUCAUGAUACAUCUGGUCUUUAGUCAAAUAAUACAUCUGGUCUUUCAUGAUUCACCGAACAAACCUCUUAACUAUAAGACUUCUUUGAUCGCCUCUAUCACUGCCAUAUAUUCUACCUCUGUAGUAGAUAAAGCCAUGACAGGUUGUAAGGAAGCUUUCCAACUAACUACACAACCGCCAAUGUAAAAAACAUAGCUUGUCAAAGAUCUUCGUUUAUCAAGAUCCGUAGCAUAAUCAGAGUCAACGAAACCAACCAAAGUAUCAUGAUUUUUCCCAAACUCCAAACAAGCAUCUGAAGUCCCUUACAAGUAUCUGAGAAUCCACUUCACAACCUGCCAAUGUGUUUUACUUGGGCGAGACAUAUAUCUGCUAACCACACUGACUACUUGUGAAAUAUCUGGAUGAGUACAAAUCAUUGCAUACAUAAUAUUGUCGAUGGCACUGGAACAUGGAACUUGCACUAUAUAUUCUUCCUCUUCAACUAACUAUGGUGAUUGAGCAGCAAAUAGUCGAAAAUGGCUAGCAAGAGGAGUACUUACUGGCUUAGCGUUUUUAAUGCCAAACCUCUCCAAGACUUUCUUGAGGUAAUUUUUCUGGGUCAGAAAUAAUUUUCUAACUCCUCGUUCUCUUUUGAUCUCCAUGCCAAGAAUUUUCUUAGUUGCUCCCAAAUCUUUCAUUUCAAAUUCACUACUUAGUUGCAUUUUCAAAGUAUAAAUUUCUAACAAAUUUUUAGCUGCAAUAAGCAUGUUAUCAACAUCAAGCAACAAAUAUACAAAAGUGCCAUCAGUUAACUUUCGGAAGUAGACACAGCUAUCAUACAUGCUCUUCGUGUAACCAUGACCCAACAUAAAAGAAUUAACCCUCUUAUACCAUUGUCUUGGAGACUGUUUCAAUCCGUACAAGGAUUUCUUUAACAAACAAACAUGGUCUUCCUUACCGUCAACUUCAAAUCCAUGAGGUUGCUCCAUGUAAAUUUGUUCUUCAAGUUCACCAUGUAAGAAAGCUAUCCUGACAUCAAGUUGCUUCAAUUCUAAAUCAUACAUGGCAACUAAAGCAAACAAAACACAAAUAGAGCUAUAUUUAACAAUAGGUGAAAAUACGUCAUUAAAAUCAACACCAUGUACCUGACUAUAACCUUUUGCAACUAAUCGUGCUUUGUACCUUGCAUCUUCAACCCCUGGAAUACCUUCCUUCUUUUGAAGACCCAUUUGCAUCCAACAAUUUCCUUACCCAAAGGCGGCUUCACAAGAUCCCAAGUUCUAUUCCGAUGGAGAGAUUCAAUUUCUUCAUUCAUCGCAAUCAACAACUUAGCGAAAUUAUCAUAAGAAACUGCAUUUGAGUAGGUAGUAGGCUCACUAACUUCACUUGUUUCUUCUGCAACAGACAAAGCAUACGCAACCAAAUUUGUAUAUCAUUGUGGUGGUCGAAUAUCUCUCCGUGGUCUAUCCUUGGCUAUGGAAUAUUGCUCUUCAUCUAGAUCAUCUUUGUCAGUAGACUCAAGACCAUCUAUUGGCAUUCUUUGAGUAAAAGAGUUCGACUUAAAAGAAUCUGAACUACCAAUCUCAAGCUCCACCUACACACUAUCAUUUGUACAACUAGUAGAUUCCUCUUUGGAAGAUAACAUAGACAAUUCAUCAAAAGUAACAUCUUUACUGAUUAUAAAUUUUGGGGAUUUAGGAUCAGAACACCAUAAUAUGUAUCCUUUCACCCCAGAAGCGUACCCAAGGAAAAUAUACUUUUUCGCUCGAGGCUCUAAUUUUCCUUCAUUUACAUGCAUGUAUGCUGGACACCCAAAAAUUUUUAAAUCAAAGCAAUCAGCAGGAGUACCUGACCAAACUUUCUCCGGAGUUUUAAAGUUAAGUGUUGUAGAAGGAGCGCGGUUGACAACGUAACAGGCCAUAUUAAUCACCUCUGCCCAAAAGUCCUUUGUCAACCUUGCAUUUGAGAUCAUACACCUUGCUCUCUCCAAGAGUGUUUUGUGUUUACGUUCGAUCACACUAUUUUGCUGAGGCGUCAUCCUAACAGUGCGAUGCUAAACAAUUCCUUUAUUUUUGCAGAAUUCAUCAAAGUCACCUUCACAAAAUUCCAUGUCAUUAUCUGUUCGAAGCCGCUUAAUCUGUUUACCUGUUUGCUUCUCAAUCAAAGCAUUCCAUUGUUUAAAGGUUAGAAAAACAUCAUUUUUAUACUUUAGAAAAUAAACCCAAACUUUCCUAGAAUAAUCGUAAAUGAAAGUUAACAUAUACCUAGCACCACCCUUAGACUGAACACGAGCUAGACCCCAAAGGUCUGAAUGAAUAUAGUCAAGAGUACCAUUUGUUUUGUGAACUGCCGGAGAAUUGAAGCUGACUCUUUUCUGCUUUCUAAAAAUGUAGUAUUCACAAAAAUCCAGUGGCCAAGUACUCUGUCCGUAAAAAAGACCUAUUUUACUCAAUAUGCUUAAACAUUUUUCACUCAUAUGACCCAAACGUAUAUGCUAUAAUUUGGUGAUGUCAUAAUCAGACAAUGAUGAUGACGAAACUGCAACUGAGCCUGUGACAGUAGUUCCCUACAAAAUAUACAAGCUACCAGACCUACAAGCUUUCAUAACAACAAGAGCACUUCUAGAAACUUUCAUAACUCCACCUUCAGCUACGUAUUUACACCCAAGAACCUCUAGGGUGCCUAAAGAAAUGAGAUUCUUUUUUAAAUCAAGAACAUGUCUAACAUUAGUGAGUAUCCUCACAAUACCAUCAUGCAUUUUAAUUCGGAUUGUGUCUCUACCAACAACAUCACACGAGGCAUUAUUGCCCAUCAAAAUAAUUCCACCAUUACAAGAUUCAUAUGUGGAAAACAAAUCUCUAUUAGGACACAUGUGAUAAGAACAAUCCGAAUCUAAAAUUCAUUCAUUUUUAGACCUCGUCCUAUCAUCAGUAGCAAAGAAAAUAUUUCUAACAUUCUCAUCAGUUGCUACACUAGCUUCAGCGGACUCAGUAGUUUUCUCAAUAAUUUUUCCCUUUUGUUUUAAUUUAUUUUUUAAUUUAAAGCAAUCAGCCUUAAUGUGUCCCAUUUUAUGACAAUAUCUACACUCCAAAUUUUUAUGUUUGGAUUUAGAUCUAGAUUUAGAUCUACUUCUGUUAAAUUUCCUUUUAUCUGUUCUACCCUUGACAAUCAGACCUUCAGCCUGAUUCUCUCUACUUUCGCUAGUGAUAUCCCUGUCUAUCUAUGAUUUUAGUGUAGAUUUAAUUUUCUGAUACGAAAUUAUUUCUUUUCCAUAAAUCAUAGUAUCACGGAAAUACUUAAAUGAUUGAGAAAGAUAACACAAAAGCAACAUAGCCUUAUCCUCGUCAUCAAUUUUUGCAUCUAUAUUCUCCAAAUCUAUAACUAAGGAAUCAAAUUUAUCAAGAUGUGAGAGUAUAGAUGUACCUUCAAUCAUCCGAAGCAUAUACAAACUCUACUUCAAGUAGAGACAAUUCGCUAUUGUCCUCUUCAUAUAUAAGGCUUUAAGUUUGUCCCACAUGCUCUUAGCCGUAGUCUCUGUAGCUACCUCCCGUCAAACUUCGUCAGAGAGAUUUAGAAUAAUGCUUGAUCGGGUCUUCUUAUCCAUACCCAUAAGAUCUUCCUUCGAUGUACUAUAGGUCAAUUGACCAAUAUCCACGGACGAAGGAGGAGAAAAUCACUACUAUAAAAGAGGGACUAUUACAAAUGCCUUAGAAAGAUGUUUCUAGGCUAUAAAACAUGAAAUUACUAAACAAGAAAAGCCUAAAGCAAACAAUUAGGUUUUCUUGUGGUUUAUCUGACUUCAAAGUACAGGCCCUUAUUUAUAGUUUAAACAGGAGAUACCAAACUUGAUUUUCCUGAUGUGAGAUUAUGUGGGACUUGCCAAACUAACAUAUGGUGCUUCCUAUUUAUACAUGGGAGGAAGGAUUUUUCUCAGUAAAAUUUGCUUGUGCAGUUGAAAAUUUUUAGCUGUUAUUAAUUAUGUCAUAAUUUCUACGUCACUGCUCCAAUAACACAUCCAUCUUCCAGUAUAAAUCCAGAAUAAAUUAAAAGGUGAGAAGUUCUGUUAGCAUUAUGUCUAAUUUCUUUUGCUUUUAUGCAUGCCAUGGAGAAGGCUAAGGAAUGGAUGAGUUUUGAAGAUUGUCUGAGUUCUUCAGACUCGUUCAAUCAAUGCAGGAAUGCUAGGAAAGUGCCAUUGCUCCAAGUCGUCAGCAUGGACGAGUUGGGGAAGAAUUGCAUGAUGAAGGAUUCUAUUUCAAGAACAGCAUUGAUCCUGACUUCUUCUGAGAAAUUGAGAGCAGUUUCAGUACCAACUACAACAAGAAGUUGUGACAUUUUCUCCACUUGAAAUGUACAAAAAACAGUAGAAAGCAGUCUCCAACUCUGAUGAAUGGAUUCACUGCAAAACUCCUACUUGUGAUUUUGAAAUCACUCUUCUCAAGUAGUUCAAAGAUCUCUGAUAGCUGAGAAAUCCCAUGAACCAGAACUCAAACUCAUCCACAGUCACUAUCUGGAUGUACUUUUGGUUAGGCUUCUGUGAGUUCUCACACAGGCUGGCUCUUCUCACCCUUCCUACUGGGAUCAAAACCUGUGGGAAGCGAUUGAACUCAGUUAUGUGUCAGAAACAUUCUACACACUGAUCAACAAGUUUGAUUCCCAAGAAGAAGUACCUUGUAAGGAACUCUGACCAAAUUUCCUCUGGGAGAAGUAACUCUGAUUGAUCUAUCACUGCGGAAGGCGAUCUUGUGAGUUGAAAUGAAGAGCAGCCCUGCUAUGGGACCAGCUGUGGUUGACAGAUAGCACUGGAAUGCCUGCAGCAGCUUUUCUCCUCUUUCGACUGAGAAAUUUUUUCUGAAAACUCUUUCGACACCUCCAGCUCGAAGGAUCUUUGCACCCAAGCUCAAUUUUCCCUUCACAGUCUCUGAGAUUUUGGGCCCUAAACUCACUGCACUUCCAAAAAAAUCACAAGGCUUCUUGCUUAGUUGCUAAUGUUUGGCAACAAUAUUUGCCAUGGAGGGAACCUGUAAGCUUAUUAUGCCGUGAGCUUACCAUGAUCUUUGAUGCCUUUCAGAUAGCCGUCCGCUUUUUUGCUGAACUUUCUCAUCCAAUCAACAGGUGCAUCCGCUUCUGCAUUCCAAAACGAUUCUGUGAGCUCCUAGAAGUCAUCGAGAAUAACAAGUAACUUCACAUGACAAAGAUGGUAUUACUUUGUUUGUACUGGGAGGACUCGUACGAGGUGGGUUGAAGGCACAGUCUCUUGAGCUCCGUGACGACUGCAGACUUUCCACACAUUUCGGCUGCAUAUCUGAUCGACUGGACAGGAACGCCUACAGCUUGAGCACGGCUUGUGUUCUUCAUGUUGAACCGAGGCACAGCUACCGAUUCCACUCUCCGGGAGAAAGGUCGGGGAGAGUCUAUGCUCCAAGAGACCGGUGUGGAGGCCUUUUAUAAGGCGAAGCAACCGCUGAUACUGUCACCCCAACCAUACUGCACAAUGCGUGAAGCAGAAUCAGCAUGGAAUCAUCAGCCACAAAGGCAUCCUCGUGAAUCCAGAAAAGAAAAGGAAAAGUCGAUCGACAGUUCAUCAUCAGCCACCAGAAACUAUAAAGAAAAGUAAAAGAAAGCCCCCCAAAGCCUUCUUUUGCUGCCUUAACCGAGUGAGCAAGUUCCGAGAUAACAUAUCAUACUGGGGCAUGCCAUGUGCUUCGAUCGAAUCAAGGCAACUCCACUCUCAUCUCUUUCCCCAAAAACUAUCAUGCAGCAUGUCUGACACGGUUGUGAGUCAGCAGCUUAUUACGUAGAAGCUUUUCAGUGAUAGCCUACGUUCAUGCUUCUUUGCUUGAUCGGGGAGAAAUAUAUAACAGUACACGAAGAGAAUGAGAAGGAAAGCUAUCGAGGCAACCUUCCGAUGGAAGGAAAGUGAUUGGGAUCACAUCAAUGGAGACAAAAAAAA